AAAAAGAAAUCAUGUAGUGCACUAGUCUGUCUGAUGCAGCGGUUUUCAGUCCAAAAGCAGUGCGGUUUUCUUCCUCGUCUUCAAAAAUUUACGUCCCACAAAAAAGAAAUCAUGCAGUCCGCUAGCCCGUCAGAUGCAGUGCGGUUUUCAGUCUAAAAGCAGUGGAGUUUUCUUCCUCGUCUUCAAAAAUUUACGUCCCACAAAAAAGAAAUCAUGCAGUCCACUAGCCCGUCUGAUGCAGUGCGGUUUUCAGUCUAAAAGCAAUGCACUUUUCUUCCUCGUCUUCAAAAAUGUACGUCCCACAAAAAAGAAAUCAUGCAGUCCGCUAGCCCGUCUGAUGCAGUGCGGUUUUCAGUCUACAAGCAGUGCGGUUUUCUUCCUCUUCUUCAAAAAUUUACGUCCGACAAAAAAAUCAUGCAGUCCGCUAGCCCGUUUGAUGCAGUGCGGUUUUCUGUCUCAUGUAGUAUACACAAUGAUUUGGGUGUCGCGAAAAACAAAGUGUCCGCGUUUUGGUAAAUUCAAAAUUGCUCUUAAACCGUAAGGAAUUAGAGAGCGUGUUCUACAUGAAAAAGUUGUGCCUCGUCGAUAUCUUUCCAACGGUGUAUGAUUUGAAUCAUUUCGAUCAGCGCUUUGUAAAAAUUCCGCGAAAAACGGCCGCUGCCUCUCACCGCCAGCCGCACGAUUUUCAAAAUUAACUAAAAACCGUAAGAAAUAUCAAAAACAUUUCAACAUAGGAAAGUUGCGUCUCAUCCAUAGCUUUUCAACAGUAUAUUACACGCCUCUUUUCGAUAAACAGUUAGAAAACUGGAGCGAAAACAGUACCAAAAAUUUGUAAAAAUUUAAAAAAUAGAAUUACGCGAUUUAGUAAAUUUGAAACUGCUCUUAAACCAUAACGAAUUAGAGAAAAUAAUACAUAUGAAAAAGAUGUGCCUCGAUGAUAUCUUUCCAAUGGUAUAUCAUUUGCUUCAUUCCGACAAGCGGUUUAGAAAAGAAAACACAAAAAACGUUUUCUGCCACUUGUCGUACGCCGCACCAUUUUCAAAACUGCUCUUAAACCGCGAGGAAUCUCAAAAAAUGUUCAACAUGACGAAGUUGCACCUAAUCCAUAGCUUCUCAACGGUAUAUUACACACCUCGUUUCAACAAACAGUUAAAAAACUAGAGCAGAAAAGGUACUGAAAAAACACAGCAUGCAGUUUUUUUGCGACACGAAGUUCACUCGCCUGAGUACUGCAGCACACUUGGUUCAAACAAUGACGUGCACUUGCGUUGAGCGUGCUGUGCGGAAGUGUUAUUAGAAUAGUUAGUCUGCUAAUAUUAGCAGAAUAGACCGGCUGUAUAUAUAUAUAUAUAUCCACUCGGAUGUAAGUUAUCAUAAAGUAUCAUUGUUGACAUUAUCCUUGAGGUAAAAGGUUGGGAGGCGAAACUAUAAGCCCCUAUCUUUCUCUGUGUCCGAUUGAAGCUUUAAACCCAUAAGUAUCGCGUGAGUGUUAGCAAUUGCGAAAGAUUAAAUGAUAGUUGAGUAUGUGGACUUGCUGAAAAACUCUUAUAUUGACUCUUUCCGAUGUUAUGAUAAAUUGCAAUUGCUUUAGUGACUAAGAUCAUAGUUCGUUAGUUUUCAAUGAAGUUUUUGAUUCAUACUUUACCUUGUGAACGAAUUAUUACUUUAGCAUAAGAAAUUAUAUGACAAUAUAUGUUGUUGUUCUAAAGAUGAUCUUGACGCCCUCAUGUCCGUAUUUUAUUUUAUCAACACCUCUAUCUCUAAACAUGUGGACGUAUUUUUCGACUUCGACUUUCGCUUGAGGACAAGCGAGAUCUAAGCUUGGGGGAGUUGAUAUGUCCAUUUUGCAUCAUGCUUUUAUAUUGAUAUUUAUUGCAUUAUGGGCUGUUAUUACACGUUGGCACAAUAAUUAUGCCUUUUCUCUCUUAUUCUACAAGGUUUACAUGAAGAGGGAGAAUGUCGGCAGCUGGAAUUUUGGACUGGAAAAGGAGCAAAUAUUAGAGACCUAUUCUGCACAACUCCAAAAGUCCUGAAACUUCACAGAGAAUUAUUUUGGAAUAUAUAAAAAUAUGGGAAAUUUGAUUUUAUACCCCUAGUUGUGUCACCCUCGGUAGGUUUACCCCUAGUUUUCGAAAACCCUCGUUCUUGCCCAACUCACUUUGGUUUUCUUAUGCUUUUGCCCUUCCGGCACGGUUCCAUCUAGUCAGCGUCGUUUGACUGCUACCGGCGCUAGAUUUUGGACAUUUUUCCCCUGUGGUUGCUAACUUCAGUACCCCUUCAUCCUCAGCCAGCUCUCACGAAAAACAGAGGAAAGGAAGGCGCGACCAGAUUGGAGGGGGGACCGGGACGCAGGAGAAGAAGGAGCCGGUGCGCAUGGCGAGCUCGGGCUCAUCCAGCUUCUCGCCGGCGACCGGAGAGGUAAGCAAUGUGGUGGGGUCGUGCUUCUCCACCCUACCCGACAUUUUGGGGUUCAAAGCUAGGGUUUGUGACAUUUUGGGGGAAAUUUGACUUUUUUUUAGGUCGAUGGGGUCGGGAUUGUGCAGCAUUCAUCAGAGUUUUAUCUUCCUGACGAGUCUUAUUCCGGCUUGGAGUUUCUGUCGAAGCAUCGAUGCCCCGGUCAUGGCCUUGUUCCUGCCCGGCGUGUAUCAUGGGGUGGUGCAAGCAGUGGCCGCCAUUUUUUAGGUUGCCCAUUGGAUGUAAGUUCAUGUCAAAUUGAUCCAGAUUUGUUUUUUGCUCUCUAAUUUUUACUUUUCUAAUUAUGACUCUUGAUUUAAAAUUAGUUACCAGAUGAGUGUGACUGGGUGGUUUGGGUUGACCCAGCUCCUCCAUUGCGUGUUGGACUAGCUUUUGAAGACUUGCACGCUGAGGUUGAAUGCAGUUGGAUCAAGUGCCACCAUUUGAAGAAGGAAAACAUUGAGCUGGCAAGGAAGAACAAGGCUUUGAAGAAGCUUAGAGAGAGAGAUGAGAUGUUGUUGUUGUGGGCACUGUUGCUUGUGGGAAUUAGUAUGAUAGUUGCACUACUAUGGUAGUUGUCGAAGAAAUUAUGCAGUUGUUCGAUGUCAGCUAUAGUAGUUUGGUAUUCCAAGAUGUUGUUGUUGUCAAAUGUGGUCUUAAACUUGUCAAAUGUGGUUUGGUGAAUGAAUUUGAUCUUGCCAGCUGAAUUUGAUCUUGCCAACUCAAUUUGAUCGUAAACUUGUGAAAUGACAGAUGAAUGACACAAGUUCAACAACAACUUGAGAUCAUACAACAUUGUGCAACACAUAUGAAUGACACAAGUUCGACACCCUUAAGAUUAGACCACAUUGUGCAUAACAACACCAAGUACAUAACAACAUCAUAGCACACAGUAGACAUAACAGGUGCAUCUCAGAAGUUUAGCAACAUCACACAGUACACAUAACAAUAAAUAAAAGGUGUAAAAACACCAUCUAGUUGAUAACAGCAUCUAGAACUUCAGUUUUUUGCUCCUGGUGUUUCUGGCUGGGUUUGGAGCUUCCCUUGCCUUGCUUCUAGUGUUUUUGGCUGGGUUGGGGCCAGUUGGUGGAGCUUGGUUUUGUGCUGGUUCUUUUGAUGCAGGAGUAACAACCUUGUUGUCAACACUGCUUCCAGUAGCUGAGAAUGUAGUUGCUGGUUGUACAUCUCCACCUCUCUUCUCUUUCACACACCUUGGAGAAGCUCCUCUAUCUGCUGCUUUUUUAUAGUUUUUCCUAGGGCUAAACAAUUGCAAAUAUGUCACAAAUUGUAAUGUAUGCAUGAACAGAAAUGGAUGUGAGAAUUCCACAUACCUUACUACACUUGCUUGUGUAGAUGCAUCGCCCCUUAUCAAUUGGCUCUGAACAUCUCAACAGAGUAGUACUUAUGGACAUACUUAUCAAUUCACUAGCAUCACCCCUUAGAGAAGUGAUGAAGAAAAGUGCAUGGAUGCAUGGCUUACCAGUGACCUGCCAUUGCCUGCAACUGCAAGUCCAUUUCUCCAGGUCCACAGGAUACCUCCAUUCUCUCUUCUCUCUGUCAGUUGCAGUUACCUUAGCCUCUGUUGGGCUUCUCCUAAUAAUGCUCAUCUCCAAACCUUUAGUUUUCUCCAUUAAUGCCUUCAUUACUGCUGGUAUGAUGUUGUGCCCAAUGAAAUGGUCAAUGCAAAUUAUUUUUCUUAGGUCAAACUUCUCCAUAAUGUACUGCCUGAUCUUGUCAAGCAGGUCAACUAGGUGUAGGCCCUUGUAUUUCUUGAUUCUAGAGUUGAAUGAUUCAGCUAGAUUGUUAUUUACAUAGUCAACCUUGCUCAACUCAGUGAAAUCAGCUCUAGCCCAGAUUUUGGUGUGGUGCUCCUCAAGAUACUCCUUCACUUUGAGCUUGCUUUUCAACUGGUUCAGAUGAUAAUUGUGCUUUUUGAUGCUGUAAGUUAGUGAGCAAGGCCACAGAUUGUCAUCAUAAAAUUUCCCUUUGAAUUUCUUGCCAAAAUUUUGAGACAAAUGUCUCAUGCACUCUCUGUGCUCAACUCCAGGAUAAACAUCAUCAACAUCACUCUCCAGUCCUUUGCAAGCAUCAGUAUGGAUAACUAAUCCUUCAGGAUGUCCUAUAACUUUCUUCAAAUUAUUGAAAAACCAUGUCCAACUCUCAGUGGACUCCACUUCAAGAACACCAUAUGCAACAGGAAAUAACCAACUGUGUGCAUCUAGGGCACAUGCUGCUACAAGUUGGCCCCUAAACCUACCAUGCAAUGCAGUUGCAUCUACAGCCAAGUAUGGCCUGCACCCCUCUAGAAACCCCUUCUGACAAGCUUUGAAACACACAAAAACCCUUCUAAAACACUCUUUGUAGAAUUUCUUUCCUUUUAACUUGUACUCCACUGUGUGAUGGUCAAUGUCAACAACACUGCCUGGUGAUGCCCUCUCUACUUCUGCUUUGAAGGCAAAAAGUAACUGAAAACUAUCACUGUACUUACCAUAUAUCUUGUCAAGUGCCAUUUCCUUACCAUAGUAGCAUCUACUGUAAGGCACCUAAAGACCAUACUUCUCUAACAACCUACCCUGAAUUUCCUUUGUGCUAAUCCCUGGAUUUUUUCUGAUCCAAGCCAUAGAAGCAUCUGCAAUCCACCUUCUUUUUGCAGCUCUCAAUCUCUGAGAUCUGUUCACACUAGGACAUGUGUGAGGGUGGGGGUUCACUUUGAUCUGAAAGUAAAACAAGGAAACAAAUGGUCUGUCAGUACAACAUUAGUAAUACAAAAAGUCACAAUUUUAAAACAAAUAGUAGUAAACUAAAUAGCUAGUACCUGAAACAAAGUGCUCCUCCUCAUCACAAAUGCAUGCAGCCUCCACUUACACCUGUCAUAGGCACAUUUAAUAGUGAACCUACUCUGGUCACUCUUCAGCGUGAUGUACUCAGUUUCAGACUUGAUUGAGAAUGUUCCAACUGCAUUUUUGCAAUCAACUGCCCCAGGAAAGACCACACUUCCUCAAUGCUUGGGUUAUCUGUAUCAUACAUCAUGACAGGUCUGUCCUCAUCUGCAUCCUCAAAAGUUCCCAUGUCAUGAUCCUCUUGCCUUUCAUCUUCAUCAGUAUCUGAAAAUUCUGCAGGUAUGUAGUCUUCAUUUGUUGUAUGUUCCCGAUUAUUUUGUUGUACAUAACCUGGAUAAAGCUUCUCAUCCUCCUCAUUAGACAAAAUAGGUGCAUCGGGCAGUGCUUCCUCCACAACUGGAUCAGGUUGAUCUUCUUGUUUCUCAGUGACAGUUGGAGCAGUUGGGGUGGUACUAGCACUUGCUGCACUAGUGCCAGGAGCACUAGGAGUACUGGUAGCUCCUGGCCUAGAUGCACAUGGUCUACCCCUUCUUCUACCUCUGGUCCCUCCAGCAGUGUCCUAGAUGCAGGUGUUUUCUCACACCUUUCUCCUCUCUUCCUCUGAAUUACUGUAAUUUCCAAAUUGCAUGACCUUGUCUCUGCAUUUCUUGCAAACAUCAAACCUAACUCAUCAUCACACUGCAAAGGGUUCCAACUCUCCUGUGAACUAUCCAAUAUGUUAUUUCAACAGCAUCAAACAAUCCCCAUGGAUACUUUGCACAAAUAUUAGCCCUAAAAUCAUUAAAUGAACUACUACUGUUGUCCACAACUAAUGGAAAUGUGAAGCUGCUUUCUUUUCCUCUGGUACCAGCAGAAACUAUGACUGUGGUCUCCAUUCUAACAGACAGAAAGAAUGCAACAGCUGGAUCCAUCCUACAAUAAUGAACACAACAUCUACCAUGACUAAAUCUUCUCUGAAUCAAGCCUACGAUACUAAGGAAAAGCAGAUCUGAGACUUACCCCGUCAGGAUCUCCCGCGCAGAUGCGGUUCCCUUGCCCUUGUCGCCCUGACUGCUACCACACCCGCCUUCAACGCUCCCCCUAAUCGAUGGCGAGCUUUUGUCGCCGUCGAUGAUGCCACCACCGCCGUGGCCAUGCGCGCAGCCAUCGCCCUACCGCGCCGAUGCGAUUCCCUUCUUGUGGCGGUGGCCGCCGCCUAGGGUUUCUCCAUUCUCCCCCAUCGCCUGGAAAUGGAUGUGUUGGUGCUGCAGGUGACGUUCUGGUGGUGGUGCCCCUAGGGUUUCUGGAUCUGGUGUUGAGGCGCCGACGAACUAGGGUUUGGACAGGGAGAGAGAGAGUGACGGGAGGAAUGGGGAACGAAAGAGUGAGGGGGGGAACAAGCGAGUGAGCACGGGGGCAAGCCGUGUCCAAAAUCUAGCGCCGGUAGCGGUCAAACGGCGCUGACUGUACGGAACCGUGACGGGGGGGGCCAAAGCACAAAGAAACCAAAGUGAGUUGGGCAAUAACGAGGGUUUUCAGAAACUAGGGGCAAACUUGCCGAGGGGGACACAACUAAGGGCACCAAAUUAAUUAUCCCAAAAAAUAUUGGGUGAAGAAAGCACCAGAGGGGGGCCACCAGCCAUCCACAAGGGUGGAGGGCGCGCCCUACCCCCCUGGGCGUGUCCCCCUACCUUGUGGGCCCCCUGUCAGGCCUCCGGUGCCCAUCUUCUGCUAUAUGGUGUGUUUUGAAUUGGAAAAAAUAAGAAGGAAGCUUUCGGGAUGAAGCGCCGCCGUCUCGAGGCGAAACUUGGGCAGAACCAAUCUAGGGCUCCGGCGGAGCUGUUCUGCCGGGGAAACUUCCCUCUCGGAGGGGGAAAUCGAAGCCAUCGUCAUCACCAACGAUCCUCUAAUCGAGAGGGGGUCAAUCUCCAUCGACGUCUUCACUAGCACCAUCUCCUAUCAAACCCUAGUUCAUCUCUUGUAUCCGAUCUUUGUCUAAAACCUCAGAUUGGUACAUGUGGGUUGCUAGUAGUAUUGAUUACUCCUUGUAGUUGAUGCUAGUUGGUUUAUUCGGUGGAACAUCAUAUGUUCAGAUCCUUAAUGCUAUUUAAUACCCCUUUGAUUAUGAACAUGAAUAUGCAUUGUGAGUAGUUACGUUUGUUCCUGAGGACAUGGCAGAAGUCUUGUUAUAAGUAAUCAUGUGAAUUUGGUAUUCGUUCGAUAUUUUGAUGAGAUGUAUGUUGUCUUUGCUCUAGUGGUGUUAUGUGAACAUCGACUACAUGACACUUCACCAUUGCUUGGGCCUAGGGGAAGGCAUUGGGAAGUAAUAAGUAGAUGAUGGGUUGCUAGAGUGACAGAAGCUUAAACCCUAGUUUAUGCGUUGCUUCGUAAGGGGCUGAUUUGGAUCCACAUGUUUCAUGCUAUGGUUAGAUUUAUCUUAAUUCUUCUUUCGUAGUUGCGGAUGCUUGCGAGAGGGGUUAAUCAUAAGUGGGAGGCUUGUCCAAGGAAGGGCAGCACCCAAGCACCGGUCCACCCACAUAUCAAAUUAUCAAAGUAACGAACGCAAAUCAUAUGAGCAUGAUGAAAACUAGCUUGACAGUAAUUCCCAUGUGUCCUCGGGAGUGCUUUGCUUUAUAUAAGAGUUCGUCUAGGCUUGUCCUUUGCUGUAAAAAGGAUUGGGCCACCUUGCUGCACCUUAGUUACUUUUUUUACUUGUUACCCGUCGCGAUUUAUCUUAUCACACAACUAUCUGUUACCAAUAAUUCCCGUGCUUGCAGAGAUUACCUUGCUGAAAAACGCUUGUCAUUUCCUUCUGCUCCACGUUGGGUUCGACACUCUUACUUAUCGAAAGGACUACGAUAGAUCCCCUAUACUUGUGGGUCAUCAGUCCUCACUCUGGAACCUUCUAGAACCUUCCUAGUACAAUACCGAAAAAACUCGAACUUUUUCCGGAACCCCGAUAACAACUUUCUGUAUAUGAAUCAUUACCUCCGGACUAUUCUGAAGCUCCUCGUGAUGUCUCGGAUCCCAUCCGAAGCUCCAAACAACCUUCAGACUUUCCACAAUUAAUACCUCAAUACUACCCUAGCGCUACCGAACGUUAAGCGUCGACCCUGCGGGUUCAAGAAUCAUGUAGACAUGACCGAGACUCCUCUUCGGUCAAUAACCAAUAGCGGAACCUAGAUGUCUGAUAACCCACAAGUAUAGGGGAUCGCAACAAUUUCGAGGGUAGAGUAUUCAACCCACUGUUCAAGACAUCUUCCGAUAUGCCGAUAAAUCAGCCGAUUUAUCGCUUACCCGUGUCUUACCAAUAAGAUAAUUCGACCGAUAAGUCAACCGAUAUGGCGAUAAAUCGGCCGAUAUGCCGAUAAAUUGGACGAUCUACCCUUAUCGGGGGUCGACCGAUAAAUUCCCGAUAAGCAAUAUCCUCAACAUUGAUUCAACCCAAAUUUAUUGAUUCGACACAAGGGGAGCCAAAGAAUAUCCUUAAGUAUUAGCAGUUGAGUUGUCAAUUCAACCUUACCUGGCUAACUUAGUAUCUGCAGCAAAGUAUUUAGUAGCAAAGUAGUAUGGAAGUAACGGUAACGGUAGCAAAAGUAAUAUUUUUGGGUUUUGUUGUGAUUGUAACAGUAGCAACGGAAAAGUAAAUAAGCGGAGAACAAUAUGUGAAAAGCUCGUAGGCAUUGGAUCGGUGAUGGAGAAUUAUGCCGGAUGCGGUUCAUCAUGUAACAAUCAUAACAUAGGGUGACACAGAACUAGCUCCAAUUCAUCAAUGUAAUGUAGGCAUGUAUUCCGAAUAUAGUCAUACGUGCUUAUGGAAAAGAACUUGCAUGACAUCUUUUGUCCUACCCUCCCGUGGCAGCGGGGUCCUAACGGAAACUAAGGGAUAUUAAGGCCUCCUUUUAAUAGAGUACCAGCAAAGCAUUAACACAUAGUGAAUACAUCAACUCCUCAAACUAUGGUCAUCACCGGGAGUGGUCCCGAUUAUUGUCACUUCGGGGUUGCCGGAUCAUAACACAUAGUAGGUGACUAUAGACUUGCAAGAUAGGAUCAAGAACUCACAUAUAUUCAUGAAAACAUAAUAGGUUCAGAUCUGAAAUCAUGGCACUCGGGCCCCAGUGACAAGCAUUAAGCAUAGCAAAGUCAUAGCAACAUCAAUCUCAGAACAUAGUGGAUACUAGGGAUUGAACCCUAACAAAACUAACUCGAUUACAUGAUAAAUCUCAUCCAACCCAUCACCGUCCAGCAAGCCUACGAUGGAAUUACUCACGCACAGCGGUGAGCAUCAUGAAAUUGGUGAUGGAGGAUGGUUGAUGAUGACGACAGCGACAGAUUCCCCUCUCCGGAGCCCCGAACGGACUCCAGAUCAGCCCUCCCGAGAGAGUUUAGGGCUUGACGGCGGCUCCGUAUCGUAAAACACGAUGAAUCUUUCUCUCUGAUUUUUUCUCCCCGGACACGAAUAUAUGGAGUUGGAGUUGAGGUCGGUGGAGCUCCAGGGGGCCCACGAGGCAGGGGCGCCCCCCACCCUCGUGGCAAGGGUGUGGGCCCCCUGGCCUUGAUUCUUUCGCCAGUAUUUUUUAUUAUUUCCAAAAAUAAUCUCCGUGGAGUCUCAGGUCAUUCCGAGAACUUUUGUUUCUGCACAUAAAUUAACACCAUGGCAAUUCUGCUGAAAACAGCGUCAGCCCGGGUUAGUUCCAUUCAAAUCAUGCAAGUUAGAGUCCAAAACAAGGGCAAAAGUGUUUGGAAAAGUAGAUACGACGGAGAAGUUUUCAACGAAGCGGCGACAAUAACUGGCUAGACCAAGGAAACUCCUAACUUGUUUAACUGUUUCAGGUGGAGUCCAAUCAAGAACGGCCUGAACUCUCUCAGGAUUGACAGCAAUGCCCUUACCAGAGAUCACGUGGCCUAGGUAGGUCACUUCUGGCAACCAAAAUUCGCACUUGGAGAACUUGGCAUAAAGGCGGUGCUCUCUGAGUUUUUCUAACACAAGUCUAAGAUGUUUGGCAUGCUCUUCCUCGUUCUUUGAGUAAAUAAGGAUAUCAUCGAGGUAAACCACGAUGAACUUAUCUAAGUACUCCAUGAAGAUCGAGUUCAUCAAGCGGGAGAAUGUGGCUGGAGCAUUGGUUAGACCGAAAGACAUGACGGUGUACUCGUACUGGCCAUAACGAGUGACAAAAGCCGUCUUAGGAAUGUCGCCAUUUCUAAUCUUGAUUUGAUGGUAGCCUAACCUCAAAUCCAUCUUGGAAAAGACUGAGGAUCCCGCGAGCUGAUCAUACAGGUCGUUGAUCCUGGGGAGCGGAUACUUGUUCUUUAUCAUGACCAAAUUAACAGCACGAUAAUCUACAACCAUCCGGUCCGUACCAUCCUUCUUCUUGACGAAGAGGACGGGGCAAGCCCAGGGAGAAGAACUAGGACGGAUAAAACCCUUUUGCAAGGACUCAUCAAGUUGUUUCUUAAGCUCAGCUAGUUCUAAAGGUGCCAUCUUGUAAGGUCUCCUAGAGAUUGGGGCGGUUCCUGGGAUAAGAUCUAUGACAAACUCUACAUCUCUGUCAGGUGGAAUACCUGGCAGUUCCUCUGGAAAGACAUCCGGAAAGUCACGGACUACCGGGAUAUCUUCAAGGUCUGGAAGAGGACUGGCAUUAAGAGAAUAGAGUUGACGCUUUGCAACUCUGGUGGAGACAGUGACUAACUUGCCAGAUGGGUGUGUGAGUUGAACAGACCUGGUGUAACAAUCAAUCUUGGCAUGAUGAGCUGUCAUCCAGUCCAUACCCAAGAUGAUGUUAAUAUCUGUAGACUUGAGGGCUAUAAGUGAGGCAAGGAAUACAAGUCUGUCAACAAGGAUUUCAUUACCAUGGCUUAUUCUGGUAGUUUGCCAUCUAGACCCUGGAGUUUGGAUUUCAAGUGGAGUUGGCAUAUCACAAAAUGACAUGUCGUGCAAACGAGCAUAGCCUUCAGAGAUGAAGGAGUGAGAUGCUCCAGUAUCGAAUAGAACCGAAGCUGGAUGGCAAUUGACAAGGAGUGUACCAAGAACGACAUCCGGAUCAUCAUGAGCGUCUUUAGCUGAGAUGUGAUGCACACGUCCAUGUUCAGUGGGAGCUGACUUGACACUGAUCAUCUUGCGUGAUGGCUUACCACAGCCAACAGACUUCUCAGGCAGGGGUGGGGCAUAGUUAGUUUGAGAGCAGUCACGUGCAUAGUGUCCUGGCUUCCCGCAUGUGAAGCAAGUCCCUGAAGUUGGAUGUGGACCCGCAUUGACAAGCGGUCUACCAAUAGGCCUGGGUGGAGCAUACUGCUGAACUGGGUGAGGCGGCACAUAAGAUGGCCUCGGUGCAUAUCCAGGUGGAAGAGCGAAGUUCGGAACCCAAAUCCGGCGCUUAUGAGAAGUAGAACCAGAGGAAGGAACCAAAUCACGGGUGUGCUUACGAGACUCCUCGUAGGUGAGCCGAGCUGUCUCUGCAUUAAUGGCCUUGUUCACAAGAGCCUGGAAUGUGUUGCAAUGGUGCAGGUGGAGAUCACGACGCAACUUGGGGUUGACACCCUUCCGGAACCUAGCCUGCUUCUUAGCGUCCGUGGACACUUCUUCUGUAGCAUAGCGGGCGAGGUUCUCAAACUCUCUACUGUAAGCAUCAACAGCCAUCUUACCCUGGGUAAAACUACAGAACUCUUCUCUCUUGCGGUCAAUGAGAGCCUGAGGAAUGUAAUGCCCGCGAAAAGCCUCAGUGAAAUCUCUCCAAGUCGGUAUCUGGCCAGCUGGAAGCAUAGCCUCAUAGUUCUGCCACCAAAGACUAGCAAGACCUUCCAGGUGAUAUGCAGCAUAAGUGACCUUGUCACCUUCAGCUAUGUUCGCAGAAUGCAGCUUGUGUGUGAUACUACGGAGCCAGUCAUCUGCAUCGAGUGGCUCAAUGGAAUGAUGGAAGGUAGGUGGUUUCAGACCAAUGAAAUCAUAGAUGGACGCUGACUCUUUGCACUGGGGUGCGGUGUUCUCCUCGAUACAUUCUAACAAGCGGUUAGACUCAUGCUUGUUCCUCUCCAUCUCUAACAUAAACUCUGCCAACGAAGGCUGGUCGGAAGGAUCCUCCUCAUCCCUACCACCUCCGUGGUUCAGGCAACGAGCAACAGAACUUCGGUUAACUGCAUCCUGAGAAGCGGAACCAAGGACGAGGUCAACAACAACUAUAGGAUGCAACAUGUAGCAUAAGGAAAUUUAGUAUCUCUCAAACUCCUAGGACAAAUCCGGCAGCAUAACGGCAGUAAAAUGCUCAAAGUGAGACAUUCGGCAAAGGACGGGGUAGCACCAUACUCAACAUCAUCACUCAAGGUUCUAAGACAUUACUAAACAGGCUACACCGGAGGUACUCGCACUGGGAUAUGACUCUGAUCAACCAAUCCUAAGAGACUACGGAGUAGUAACACGUGAUCCUGAUAGACAGAAGAGAAAGCCUAGUUCCUUAACCCCGUAGGAAAGAUAGGAUGACUCAGAUCAAAAGGGCAUGAGGUAAAAGAAGUAAAAAGAGCCUUACGUUCCCUUCCACAAUCAAUUCCCUUACAUAACUAAAGAAUUUCUAGACUCAACUUCGACCAGGUUGGCUUGGAAAUCCUACAGGCAGUCAGGCUCUGAUACCAAAGCUGUCGGGACCCCGAUUCUAAGUCACACCGAUCUAGCAUGUAACACCUCAUAUCACUUUGCGGCCUCACGCACGGUAUUCCCACGGGUGUCACCUUACCAUGGCCUGGGACCGUUUGCGCCUUUUGGCUCACGUAUAUGAUAGUGUCGCUAGCAUCCAUAUGACAGAGAACCCGGGCCGACAUGACUAGUCGUGAACCCAAAGUGGCACUAACUUACGGGGAAAGGCAUACAUGAAACAACAUCGAGCAUGUCGGUCAGCAGCGUGUGAAUCCGGGCUGUAGCACUGGGCUAACAGGACUCCGGGAACCCGGGCUGUAGCAGGCUAGGCAGGACUCCGGAUGUCACCGCGUGACAUUUCCCCGAAGGGACAGACACAGGAACGAAGUGAAUCACAUGCCGGCCAGUCUAGGUGUUCCGGAGCAGUAGUGCUGGGCUAGCAGGACUCCGGUAAACCGGGCUGUAGCGGACUACCAUGGCUCGGUGGAAGCACUAGACUACAUUUCCCCAUAAGAGAGGCUACCAAGGAUAGACAACUAGGUUGUCGGAUCCCACACAUAGCAAUACACGUUACACGUACGCAUAACAUGCAAGUAUGUGUUGUACAACAUGGCAUCACAACAUAACGCAAACUCAUAUAGAUAAAAGGCCCAGAAGAGCCACAUAGCAUCAAGUACAAACAGGGGUCACAUGACCCAUCAUUCAGAGCAUACAAGCAACGGAAGCAUUACAUGUCUGAGUACAGACAACUACAAAAGAAAAGGGCGAGAAGCCUGACUAUCUACAAGCCCCUCCUAAGGGUACAAGAUCGUAGCUGAGGUACAAGCUACCCGUCAAAGUCCAAGCGGAACUACUAGUAAGACCGAAGUCUCCGCUGCAAAAACAUAAAUAAAGCAACAUGAGUACAAAGGUACUCAGCAAGACUUACAUCAGAUCCUAUCAUACAUGCAUUUGUAUCAAGAAGGUAGUGUGGGGUUUAGUUGCAGCAAGCCAGCUUUGACUCAGUGGCUAUCCUGUUCUACGACUACGAGAAACUUCUUUGAGGUAAGAAGGCGCACACGAGUCCACUAAUCACCACCUCAAUACACCACUAUGGAUUCAUUCCCGUCUCACUACGAGAAGCCAUCCAUAGCACUCACACUUAUCUUGAGCAUUUUAGAGUAUCCACUUCAAGUUGUCUAUGUACCACGUAAGCAUCCAAGAAGUCCAUAACCGAGGACACGGCUAUUCGAAUAGAUCAUGAUAACCCUGCAGGGGUGUACUGCGUCACACACGCUCUCGCCACUUACCGCCAUGUACACGUCAUGUACCUCGGCAACCUUCAAGCGGAAGCCUGGCGAGGGUGUCGGCCACGACCUGACUAACCACACAAGACUCUAGUCCAGGUUUAUCGCCUAUUCGGGUUCCAUCCGCAAGGAGAUCCGGCCGAGGUUUCGCUCACGGCCCCAAACGAUGUGUGCAGGGUUCCCGAGCCCACCAUCCGGGUGCCACUCGGUACACCAGGCCACGUGUGCCUAGUCUGUCCCAAGCCCACCCUGCCGGGUGCCACUCGGUAGAAAAAUAGCACUACCUACAAACACCAGAAACUAGUUGCAACUCCUGGACAGAGAUCAAGUUGGUUAAUAAGUCGAGAGGGGCACUUAAGCAUUCCUAUGUGUGGUAGUAGCUAGUCAUUGGACAACAUACACAGAACUCAGUGCUUAAGGACGGUUCCAGUGAGACAACCCACCAUGUACUCCUACAUGGCCUCUCACCGCUACCUUUACCAAAUCGUGUUCACACACUUAACUCUCAGCACCAGAACAUAUCGUAACACUCCAAUUCAUUCCCAAUGAACCAGACCUGACACAACUCUAAGCAAUAGCAGGCAAGGCAUGGUAGGAACACAACAUGGCUCAAACAACUCCUACACAUGCUAGUGGGUUUCAACUAUUUACUAUGGCAAUGAUAGGUCAUGCAGAGGAAUGGGUUCAACUACCGCAGCAUAAAGUAGCAGUUGAAUCGUUGUUGUCCUAAUGCAGUAAAAGAGAGCAGGAGCGAGAGAGUAGGAUUGUAUCGGAAUGAACAAAGGGGGUUUGCUUGCCUGGUAGAUCAACAGGGUGGCACUGCUCCUCAGGCAAGUACUCUGGAACACUCUCCGGAGCAGGACCUAUCGAGAAGGAACGGUGUCGACAAUUAAAACACAAUCAUAUGCAACAAUAUGAUGCAUGAAUAUGGCAUGAAUAUGUGAUGUAUUUUGAGCCAAUGCAUUUAGCAUUCAACUUGGAAGAGAUCCAUUUGAACCAAAGGUUCAAAUGCAACUCUAAUUUAAGUCCUUAUAUAUGCCAUUUAUAUGUUUUCACUUAUACAGUAGGUAUAAGUUGGUUUGUCAUGCAUGAAACUAGUACAGAUGGAUAGAUUGCAUUUUCCUGAUAAUUUUUCAUAUAUAAAUUAUUUAAAUCUGAGCUACGGUUGAAUUUCUAUGAAUUUUAGAAGUUUUGAACAUUUUCUGGAAUUUCCUGAUUUAAUUUAAAUCCAGAAAAAGGGUUUAUUGCGUCAGCACUGCGUCAGCACUGCGUCAGCACUGCGUCAUCAUGACGUCAGCGGGUUAGCGGCGCUGACCAAGUCAAACCUGACGUGUGGGGUCCACACGUCAGUGACACAGGGUUAAACAGGGGGUUAGUUUAUCCUAAUUACAGUGUUAGUGGCGCUGGGGCCCACUGGUCAGUGUCAGGGGUUAGGUUAGGUGGUGAUUAGCAUUAAGCUAAUCACCUGACAGGCCGGACCCACGUGUCAGGGCUCAGGCGACAGGGCUCGUCGCCGGCGACCACUGGCCACGGCGGAAUCCCCACUAGAAGCCACGGGAGCGGCGCCUGGGGGCACCAGGAGGUUGCCCGCGCUCCCGCGCAUCCAGGGGAGCCCGCGAGAGGCUGCGGGGGCGGCGGAGCUCGCUGGAGCGGAGCCCACGGAGGCGGCCGGAGCUCGGGCUCGAGCGGCUACGGGGCUACGGAGCACGAGGAAGCGAGCGGAGAGGCUCUACAGCCUCCUGGCGUCACCAGGAGCACGGUGACGCGUGCGGUUGCGGGCUGCAGUGGCUUGAGCCACGACGGCGACAUGGACGGCGGCGAGGAGCUACGGCCAUGGAGGAAACGGCGGCUACGACGCGGGAACGAUGGGGAGAAGAGGGGGGAAAUGGGGAGGUGCUCACGGCGAUCACGCGGAGCAGCACAGCGGGCUCGGGGGAGACCUGGUGAUGGCGAAUCGACGGCGGCAGACGGCGGAGCCCGAGGAGGAAGACGAUGGCGAUGGCGGCGCUCCAGGGCCUCCCAAGGCGUGUGGCUCGACGGAGAGGUAGCCCGCGACGUGGCGGAGCUUCUGGGCGUGCCGGAGAGUCGAGGGGGUGGCGGUGGCUACGGCAAUGGUGGCCGGUGGCGACGGCAGUGCUCGGCCGUGGGAGAGAGAGCGAGGGGGAAGAGAGAAUGGGCACGGGAGAGAGCGAGAGAGGUGCAGGGCGGCGCGUGGCGUCGUUCGGGCGAUCCAGGCGACGAGAGGGGGAAGCAGGAGGUGGCGCGCAUGCGCGCGGGCGGCGAGUGCGUGCCCCUGUCCUCCUGGCGCGAGGAAGGGGACGACUGGCACGGCCAGCUGGCUGGGCCGGCCUGCUGGGCCGCUGGGCCAGGCCAGGUAAGUUUCUCCCUUUUUCUAGUUUGUUUCUGUUUUCUAAUUUUCUGACAUUUGUUUGAUUUAGUAGAAAUACUAAACCAUUUUAUUUACUUCUGUCAAUUUUUGUAGGAACUAGUUGGAUUGCUCCAAAACUCCUCACCAAUUAACAGAAUUUUUGGACAUAUAUUAUAUAUAUAGCAAAUAUAUAUUCAAAGCAAAUAAUUAUGCAUUAAUUCCAAAUGGCCAAAAUAAAUACUUAUGAGCUCCUAAAAAUAUUGGUUUGAUUUUUAUCUCUGUCCAAUAUUUUCAAAGAGCAACAUGAACAUUUUCUUGGACCCUUUUGGAGCAAUUUUUAUCUGGGUCAUUUCCAGAAAUGAUUCUGAGGGUUUCACAGAUCCCCACUUCAAAUUUAAAUGGAAUUUAAACAUGAUGCACACAAGAAGGCUAGCCUAGGUCAUACCAGAACUAGGGACGUGACAUCCCGAGAGAGUUUAGGGCUUGGCGGCGGCUCCAUAUCGUAAAACGCGAUGAAUCUUUCUCUCUGAUUUUUUUCUCCCCGGACACGAAUAUAUGGAGUUGGAGUUGAGUUCGGUGGAGCUCCAGGGGGCCCAUGAGGCAGGGGGCGCGCCCAGGGGGCAGGCGCGCCCCCACCCUCGUGGCAAGGGUGUGGGCCCCUGGCCUUGAUUCUUUCGCCAGUAUUUUUUAUUAUUUCCAAAAAUAAUCUCCGUGGAGUCUUAGGUCAUUCCGAGAACUUUUGUUUCUGCACAUAAAUAACAUGUCACGACCGGUUUUUCAAUAAAAAUAUUUAUUGAGAAAUCGAUCCCUUUUACGGACCAGUAGAGAAGAAUCCUUCCCACUGGUAGACAAUAUCUUGAUCACAGAAGAAAAACCAGGAGUACUAAAUAUAAUACAAGGUUGAGCGGAGAUGGCUCAACAAUUUAUUACAAGCACGCCAAUAAAACAUAAAGGCGGAUAGGCUGGCAUAACUACUGACUCACAAUAAAAGCGGUGGUGGGUAUGCCACAGUGAACUGGGUGACAUGACUCCUGAAUCUAACAGCUCUUCGAGCGUCGGAGUGAGUCUCGAGGAUUCUUAUUGAGGGUGGCGGAAGCGUAUAUAAUACAAGUGACCAAUAUCCAGGAUCGCACGGGACUGACUGGGACUCCUCUAGGCGUCGGACUCACUAUCAAACUCUUCAUCCAUGAGAUCGCCUUCGUCAACAUCUGGCCAAAUCAACAAGCCAGGUGAGUACUAUGAAAGUACUCGCAAGACUGUAUGGACAUGAGAUAUAACAAAUGUAAACAUGAUGCAUAUGAACAGAUUAAUAGAGCGCCCUCAGACAAUAGAAGAUAGCUAUGCAUGGGAAAUAAAAAGGAAGUCGGGCAGUAGUCCUCCCGAAAUCCCAAAGUAGUGCUGAAGGCCAAUCGAGUGUCUGAAUGACUCCUCGGAAGGGUACAAAUGAAAUAACAAUGCCGCAGUCGGGCGUCAAGGCGACACCACAUAAAGGGCUUAUAAUAGAAUAUAAAUGACAGUGUGUGCCACAGUCGGACGUCUGAGCGACAUCACGUAAAGGGCUUAUAUCAAAAGUAAAUAACGAGCGUGCCACAGUCGGACGUCUAAGCGACAUCACAUAAAGGGCUUAUAUCAAAAGUAAAUAACAAGAAUGCCACAGUCGGACGUCUGCGCGACAUCACAUAAAGGGCUUAUAUCUCAUAACUUGGUAUUUCAGUAGCUCAUGAAUAUAACUCAUUUCAAGGGAAUAUUCAGGUACGAGAUAAAUAACAGGUUAGUCCAUCCAUAGGAAUAACGUUCAACCGGGUUUACCACUCAAGCUUGCUCACCGGGGAUUUACCACGGAGACUGACAUAGGGACUGACAUGGAUGUGGAUAUACUGGCCAUGGUCCUUGACCAUGGACACGAUGACUCGGAAGGAUUUGACUCUGCAGAGUUUGUACUCUUGACCACAGCCAACGGAUUUCAGUAGCCACCGGGGACUAGUUCCGUUUACUGUGUUUUAGGAGAAAGACAUCUAACCAGUACACACCCAUUCAAUAUUCCGAUGCCAGGAAUCACCCUCGGCAACGUUCAAGAAAAACCUUGAGACGGGGAGGCUACAACCUCGCGUAGCAUGGGAUCAAAUUUAUACCGCGCGCUCUAAGGGGUGCCCCCCUCUCGUUCCCAACCGGAAACACCCAUGCCCCCUGACCGAAUGACUGGCUUUAAUCCAGGGCCAUGGAACCCUCAUCCCGGCCCCUCUAUUUGGUGUGUACAAGGAAAGAGGUUAACAACUUACUAAACCGUAUUCUUUGCAGAAAACAUGUGGCAGCACGAAAGAGGAAGAACGGUAACGUGGCUUAGUCCAUGCUAACGUCGGAGUUUAUCGGAUGACGUAAGACUGGUAUGCUACAGCAAUACCAUCUUACAACCUUUCAUGUCACCACAUGAUCAGGUCAUCUCUCAUCAAAGGUCACAGUAACUUCGAAACACACGGAUAGUUGCCUUGCAUGCAACGUAAUACUCACCGAUGCUCGUAUGCCAUGUACAACCAUUCAAGCAUACAUGCAAAACACCUAUCAUAUCAAAGGUUCAAACAUGCUUGCCUGGUUCGGAGAAGUCGGAGUCUAGCUCGGCGGAGUUCGCGGCUCCGUCACCUCCUCCGGAACCUACGGUAUAACGAAACCGUAUACUAACGUGAAAAUCGUUGCGUGCAUAAAAAUUGUUCCAAAAUUUUCCAAAUAAAUACUAUAAAAACUAGACAAAAAUAUAAGACUGAUAGAAAAAGAAUCAAUCAAAAAUCAUCUUUUAUUAAAAAGAUAUAAGGGUUUUAGUCCAGGGACUAAUCUGUGAUGAAACAGAAAAGAACCAGGGACUUGUUUGAGAAAACAGAAAACGGUUCGGAAUGAAAUGCGCCAGCCCAAAGGGAAAACGCAUUUUGCCCGAAGGCGCUUUCAGAAAACGGUUCGAGGGAGAGAAAGAAGAGAGGCUGACGGGGGGGUCCCACCCGUCAGGUUUAAAACUCCAACGGAGCUCGCCGGCGCCCGAAGGCUGCGGUGGUCGCCGGCGUUGAACCACGGUGAGGCAGAGAGAUCGGAGGGUACCAGUAGGUUCAGGUGGUUCUUCCGCGUCGGUGGGUGGUGGACUUGGCCGUCGGAGAGCACCACGUCGACGGCGACACUUUCUCCGGCGGACGGUGGUUCGGGCGAUGGUGGAGUACUCCGGUGGGUGCUGCAAACUCCAAAUUGAUGCGCGGGUCAGAAGAGUGGAAGCAUUAGAAGACUACUGGCAAGAGUUGAGGGGUAGGGGUGCACGCACGAGGGUGAAUCGAGCUGGGUCCCGAAGCGGGUCGAGGCGGCCGGAGUUGGGGAAGAAGACUCCCACGGGGGCUGCUCAGUGGCUUGGCGUGGUACUGGUGGUGUGUAGAGGUGGUGCGGGUUCGAGUUCGAGCUCGGGGCCUCCUUUUAUAGGCGAUCCGACGGGGUGGCCGUGAACGGGAUAGCUCCGGCGAGCAAUUACGGCGAGGCAGAGGUUGGGCAGGGGGUUUAGGUGGCUAGGCAUCAUCAGGCAGGAUCACUGGCACCGUUCCUCCGCUAAACCUCGGUCGGGCUUGGUGUAACACGCCGGUCCCCGACGGAACGGCCGUACGGGCACGGCGGCGGCAGGGAGCGCGCUCCGCGCCUAGCAGUUCACGACGACGGACGGCAGCGUGCACGAGUGAGUGGAUGGCCACACGGUGGCCUCUGGUGGCUUGGGCGGCGCUGGACGGCGCCGUCCAACGCUGCGCCUCUCUGGCAGCCGCAAAGGCCGCUGCUGCCGUCGCUCACGGGGUGGCGCACCUCCUCCUGCUCAUCGCCGACGCCCGCAAGCCUCCAGGCGAUCGUGCGGUGCAGGGAUAAGAAGGAAGCACAGGGCGCACGGCGCCACCGCGGCCACUGACGAGAUCGAGAAGGGGCUCUGAAGAAAACGACAGUAGUCUCUGAAACUGUUAACUGAACUAUCUGAACUUGACAGAAGCAGUGCCAUUCAGGUGUUCGACGAAAUGAUUUGGCAUGAAGAAAUUUUUUUCUGGAGCUGGGACUUGGUGAGGUGACCUCUCAAUGCAUCCAGAGGCUGCCUGAAUUUUCUCAGAUAUUUAGGAGGAGAAAGCAAAUGAAUUUCAUCAAAUUUGGCAAAUAUGGUCCAAACUUGCGGCAAGCUCAAUUUGAAAUAUUUGAACUGGAGACCAGUGGAUUUUCAUGGAUCUUGGUUGAGGGCUCUAAGGACUAGCCAGGGAAAAUUGUUUGGAGGCCAAACUCAAAGUAGAAAUGGUAGUCCCUUUGUAAAUCUCCAAGGAUCAAAAUAGAAGGCAGAAAAUAUUUUUGAUAGGAAUUAAAUGGAAGAAAAUUCAUGGGGAGGUUCAACUUGCUGGAUUUGAAAUAUAUCUUGACUCAAAGGGGGGGAAUGGCUUCUGGGAGGGGAUUUCCACUUAGGUCAUGGCAAGAGGAGAUUUUGAAAGGGGAGAAGAUCACUCCAAAAGCCAUAGGGCUAUUUUAAAAGAAAAGAUUUUCAAGAGCUUUUCCAAAUGAAAAACAUUUGUGAUGAGCCAACAUGAGAUGGAAAAACCUCCAAGACCAAAGAUCAAGUUUUGGAUGGAACCAAAUAAAAUACUUGUCAUAGAAGAAAAAAAUUGAGAGGGAGAGUUCUUUAGAAGAAAAAAGUUUUAAAAUAACCUCCCUCAAAACAAAUAAAAGAUUUUGAAAAAAGACCCAAAAAAAAUUUGGGUGUCACAACACCUACCCCCUUAGAAAAAAUCCCGUCCCCGAGAUUUCAGUUGAUCCUCAAAUAGCUGUGGGUACUCUGCCUGAGGAAAAUCUUCCCUUUCCCAUGUAGCUUCAUCCUCGGUGUGAUUGCUCCACUGGACCUUGAAAAAUUUAGUUGUUUUCUGACGGGUCCUCGUUUCAGACUCCUCCAAUAUCUUUACUGGCCGCUCUCUGUAGGUGAGGUCUGGUUGCACAUCAAUGCCCUCAUGAGAUACAUGCUUUACCGGGUUACUUACACAUUUCCUCAAUUGUGAGACGCGGAACACGUCGUGGACGUCUGACAGCUCUUUGGGUAGGUCUAGCUGGUAGGCUACUGCGCCUCUUCGUGCAAUUACACAGAAGGGUCCAAUAAAUCUUGGGGCUAGCUUCCCCUUAAUUUUGAACCGUUGCAGGCCCCUCAUAGGAGACACUCGGAGGUAUACGUAAUCACCGGGUUCAAAGCUGACCUCAUGAUGUUUUCGAUCGUAGUAGCUCUUUUGUCGGCUUUGAGUUGUCUUGAGUCUGUCCCUGAUCUGUUUAACUUUCUCCUCGGCUUCCUUGAGCAUGUCUGGGCCGAAGAUACGACUGUCACCUGUCUCUGACCAAUUUAGUGGGGUACGACACCUCCGUCCGUACAAUGCUUCAAAAGGUGCCAUUUGUAAGCUGGCCUGGUAACUGUUGUUGUAAGCAAACUCGGCAUAUGGCAAACUUUCUUCCCAACUGGAUCCAUAGGUGAGCACACAAGCUCUCAGCAUGUCCUCUAGGAUUUGGUUCACGCAUUCCGUUUGUCCAUCAGUCUGAGGGUGGUACGCUGUACUGAAUGCUAGUUGAGUGCCCAGAGCUUGUUGUAAGUGAUCCCAGAAUUUAGAGACAAAUUGAGUGCCUCGGUCGGAUAUUAUAGUCUUUGGGACUCCAUGCAGACAAACUAUACGGGAGAGAUUAAGCUUAGCAAGCCUUUGAGUGGAGUAGGUCGUCUUCACGGGGAUGAAAUGUGCUACCUUGGUUAGCCUAUCUGUGAUGACCCAUAUGGCAUCAUUUCUGCGUUGCAAUCGAGGUAGUCCGACGAUGAAGUCCAUUCCAAUUUCAUCCCAUUUCCACUCAGGUAUCAUGUUUGGCUGUAGUAGCCCUGCUGGCUUUUGAUGCUCGGCUUUUAUGCGCUGACAUGAAUCGCAACAAGUGAUGAAUGCGGCUAUAUCCCUUUUCAUACCGUGCCACCAAAAUCUUUCCUGAAUGUCUUUGUACAUUUUGGUUCCUCCAGGGUGGAUUGAAUAUGGAGCAGUGUGGCUUUCGGUUAGGAUUUGCUGUUUGAGUUCCUCAAUGUUUGGUACGCAAAGUCUGUCCCCGUACCAUAAUAUUCCCUCAUUGUCUGUGACGAACUCUGAAGCCUUGCCAAGGCUCAUUUUUCUCUUUAUACCUUCGAUGCUGGGAUGUCCAUGCUGAGCCUUCUUAAUUUGUUCCAUUAGGGUGGGGUGUAUCUCCAGAUUUGAUAUGUUGCCCUCAGAGACUAACACCAUGUUGAGUCUAGCGAACUCCUGCUGAAACUCAGGCCUCAAGUUCGGUGGACUGUCGUUGCCCGGGCUGGGGUUCUGACUAAGAGCAUCUGGCACUACAUUUGCUUUCCCUGGAUGGUAGUGAAUGUCGACAUCAUAGUCCUUGACCAAUUCCAACCAGCGUCGUUGUCGUAAAUUUAGCUCUGGUUGUGUGAAAAUAUAUUUAAGGCUCUUGUGGUCCGUAUAUAUUUCACAGCGAUUUCCCAACAGAAAGUGCCUCCACUCUUUGAGCGCAUGGAUGACCGCUGCUAGCUCCAAGUCAUGAGUAGGAUAAUUUUCCUCAUGCUUCCGUAAUUGCCGGGAAGCAUAUGCGACAACUUUGCCGUCCUGCAUCAAUACGCAUCCGAGGCCCUUUCGGGACGCGUCACAAUACACUUCAAAACUCUUGUGUAUAUCCGGCACAACCAAAACCGGUGCUGUUGUUAGUUUCUUCUUGAGCUCUUGGAAGCUUUUCUCGCAUGCUUCCGUCCAUACAAAUUUCUUGUCUUUCUUGAGCAACUGGGUCAUUGGUUUUGCCACAGUGGAGAAUCCUUCAAUAAAUCUUCGGUAAUAUCCAGCCAUUCCUAGGAAACUCUGUACAUCUGUUACGUUGGCUGGUGGUUUCCAGUCAAGUAUGGCUUUGACCUUUUCUGGGUCUACGGCCACGCCUUCUUGGGUCAAUAUAUGGCCCAGAAAACCAACUUGUCUUAGCCAAAAUUCGCAUUUGCUAAAUUUGGCAUACAAUUGAUGUUUCCUUAAUUCUCCCAAUACAAUUUUGAGAUGCUCAGCAUGCUCUUCGGGUGUCCUUGCGUACACCAGAAUAUCGUCAAUGAACACCACUACAAAUUUGUCCAUGAAUUUCAUAAACACUUUGUUCAUGAGGUGGACAAAAUAUGCGGGGGCGUUCGUCAGUCCAAAUGGCAUUACUGUGAACUCAUAUAAUCCGUAUCUGGAGGUGAAUGCUGUCUUAGGGAUAUCUUCUGUCCGUACUUUUAAUUGAUGAUAUCCCGAUCUUAAAUCAAUUUUUGAGAACACCUUGGCUUGGGCGAGCUGGUCAAACAAAUCAUUUACCCGUGGCAUCGGAUAUUUGUUUUUGAUGGUGACCAUGUUGAAGGCUCGAUAGUCUAUACACAAUCUCAGUGUCCCAUCCUUUUUCUUGGCGAACAAUACUGGCGAACCCCAAGGUGAGGAGCUGGCUCGAAUAAAUCCUUUGUCCAGUAAUUCCUUGAUUUGCUUCUUCAAUUCUACCAACUCUGAGGGUGACAUUCUAUAAGGUUUCUUAUAGAUGGGGGUGGUGCCCGGUGCUAGUUCAAUGCUGAACUCUAUCUCUCGGUCUAGUGGCAUGCCUGGUAGUUCUUCAGGAAACACGUCGGGAAACUCGCACACCACUGGAACUUUUCUCAGUUCUGAAAUGUCCACUUUGUUCAACUUUGGCUGCCGUGACCGUGGUCUCUCUCGAGCUGUAACCUUUAUUGUCUUGCCGUGAUGAUGAGUGAGAAUCACAGUCCGAUUGAAACAAUUAAUAAAUCCCUUGUUGGUGGUCAACCAGUCCAUCCCUAGGAUAACAUCCAGUCCUUUAUUUUCCAACACGAUGAGAUUAGCUUGAAACUUUAGUCCUUCGAAUUCAAUAAUCACUCCUUGGCAGUAACUCUGAGUGAUCUGCUUAUUCCCGGGGGACUUGAUAAUCAUAGAUUUUUCCAAAGGAAGAAUCGGAAAACCAUGUUGCAAGACAAAACUCUUCGAAAUGAACGAGUGAGAAGCUCCGGAAUCAAACAAAACCGUGGCAGGUACUGUGUUGACAGGGAACGUACCGAGUACGAUGUCUGGAGCAUUCUGUGCUUCUUCCUUGGUCACAUGGUUCAGGUGACCCUUCCUGUGAUUGUUGUUGGGAUUGAAAUUGUUACGCUUGGGGGCUGGAUUGUUCCCACCAUUGUUCGGCUUGGGGGUCGAGUUCCUUGGUUUUGGGCACUGUUUGGCAUAGUGCCCUUCUUCUCCACAAGCAUAGCAAGUGACCCCUGGGCGGUACGUGAAGUCCUUGUCCCUGGAAUGAAACUGUCUGGUUGGCCUUAUAGCAGUAGUCAUGGAUUUUCUCGCUUCAUUCCUCUGAACCUCAGUCUUGCUUCGAUUGUUGCGAGCAAGAGUCGUCUUGUCCCUUUUCUGCUUACGGAUAUCCUCCAGACUGCGGCGCUCAUUCUCCAAAGUAAUGGCCUUGUCAACCAGAGUUUUGAAAUCUAGGAAAGUGUGUACGACCAGUUGGCAUCUUAGUGCUGGUGCCAGGCCGUCCAAAAUUUUUUCCAUCCUUUUGUUCUCAGUCAUAUGCUCAUCAUAAGCAUAACGAGAUAGCUGGGUAAACUGACUGUUGUAUUCCGUCACUGUCAUGCCUCUCUGCUUGAGGUCAUCGAACUCCCUCUUCUUGAUUUUUAUGAUGCUCCUGGGGAUGUGUGCCCCACGAAAGCCUUCCUUAAACUCUUCCCAGGUGAUGUUAUGUUCACUGGGAUGCAUGUGUAGGAAGUUCUCCCACCAUGCGGCAGCUGCUCCAGUGAGGUAGUGAGGUGCAUAAAGCACCUUCUCAUGAUCUGAACAUUGAGCAAUAAUCAACUUUCUUUCGACGUCUCGAAGCCAAUCAUCGGCUUCAAGCGGCCUAUCAGUGUGAGCAAACGUUGGAGGGCGUGUCUUCUGUAGUUCAGACAACUUGGAGUGUGGUUGGUAUGGCUCACGGUGGUUCCCCAUAUCGAUGACGUGAUUCAUCAUCUCUUGGUGCUGUUGCUGGCUUUGUUCGAAAAGGCGGCAUACUUGAGAUAAGGCUGCCUCGCUGUCCUGUUGACUAGACUGCCCCUGUGUGAAGUUGUUGCUUGUCUGUGUUCCAUAAACUUCUUCGGGUGGAUUUGGCAUGGAACGAGUCCACGGACGAGACAUUUUCCACUCUGGGGUAUAUUUUGCAAAACUCAUGAGAUGAACUGUGUGGCACAAGGAAAAUUUUGCAAAGGCGAAAUUUUUUUAAAAGACCUCAAGAUUUUCAAGAAAAUAUUUGAUUUCGCACGGAGAAGUAUUGCUCAGCACAAAUCUUACACGAGAUACGCAAAUAUACGAUACAUCACUCAGGAUGUGCGUACACACUCCUGACAUAUUAUUAGGCUAGCACACUGCUCCGGGAUCCUACAUGAUGCGCACAUAACAACCACAAACUUACGUACAUGUACAACAUAUCAUACAUGCAGACACAUCGCGCGGCUACUAGGUGCACUCAGUCGGAGAUGGUGAAGAUGUCCUUCCCCUUGCCUAGGGUAAGACCCAGCGGUGCAGGAGACUCAACCUCCACCUCCUCCCUAAUAGGCUCCAGGCGCGUAGCACUGCGCCGAGGAGAUGGCGCGGGUGCGACAGGCGGUAGUGUGGGUGCGGCAGGCGGUGCAGCUCUGACUGGAGUAGGAGCAAUGACCUGGUCGAACUCCUCAGUGGUAGGCAGACGGCGGGCGGUGGCCAAAAUGGCAGGUGAAUAGGAUGCUGAGGAUGAGACGAACGUCAGUGGCGGAGCCAUCUGGAGAAGCUCCCUCCUGUUGGCCGAAUAUCCCCGAACUAAGUCCAUACGGGCAGCCACAAGACCGUCCACGAGGUCGUCGAAAGCUGCCUCCAGAACUUUGAGAUACUCAACAAGCAUCUCGAUAGCUUCAUCUCGCUCUCCCCUAUGGCAGGCGAAUGCAUAGUGACACGUAUAUGGCACAUGGCAUGGGAGGUAGCGGUAGCGACGAGUCUUCAUCGAAGGAAGAAUGUCCCGAAGGCGAGCUAUCGCCUCACGGGCAGCCAUCUGCAUGGCAUGCCUCUCCGUAGGCAUGGCCCUUCCCACAAAACGGAAGUGGCGAGACGCAGAACGUCCUCCCUUGAAUUGCACCACGGCCUGGUGCAUAGACACGUCGUCGCUGAGCUUGUGCUGGUAAAGUGUGAACUCCGGACGAGUCGCCGGCCCGAUCGCGAGCUUGGUGAUGGAGACGAGGAGUUUGACAAACCCCUCGGGCACAUUGGUGAACACCUGGGACUCGCAGUCGUUGCCAGCCAUCUACAAAAGUAGGCAAAAAUUCUGAGUAGUCAAAUCAUAAAUUUAUGAUGACCAACAGAAAAUAGCUAUAUUUGCAAAAUGCUGAAAAAGCACUAAGACGCUAAUAACCGAUUAGCGAUCGCACCUAGUGGCUUCCUACAGUCAGCCUGGCUCUGAUACCAAGCUUGUCACGACCGGUUUUUCAAUAAAAAUAUUUAUUGAGAAAUCCAUCCCUUUUACGGACCAGUAGAGAAGAAUCCUUCCCACUGGUAGACAAUAUCUUGAUCACAGAAGAAAAACCGGGAGUACUAAAUAUAAUACAAGGUUGAGCGGAGACGGCUCAACAAUUUAUUACAAGCACGCCAAUAAAACAUAAAGGCGGAUAGGGUGGCAUAACUACUGACUCACAAUAAAAGCGGUGGUGGGUAUGCCACAGUGAAGUGGGUGACAUGACUCCUGAAUCUAACAGCUCUUCGAGCGUCGGAGUGAGGCUCGAGGAUUCUUAUUGAGGGUGGCGGAAGCGUAUAUAAUACAAGUGACCAAUAUCCAGGAUCGCACGGGACUGACUGCGACUCCUCUAGGCGUCGGACUCACUAUCAAACUCUUCAUCCAUGAGAUCGCCUUCGUCAACAUCUGGCCAAAUCAACAAGCCAGGUGAGUACUAUGAAAGUACUCGCAAGACUGUAUGGACAUGAGAUAUAACAAAUGUAAACAUGAUGCAUAUGAACAGAUUAAUAGAGCGCGCUCAGACAAUAAAAGAUAGCUAUGCAUGGGAAAUAAAAAGGAAGUCGGGCGGUAGUCCUCCCGAAAUCCCAAAGUAAUGCUGAAGGCCAAUCGAGUGUCUGAAUGACUCCUCGGAAGGGUACAAAUGAAAUAACAAUGCCGCAGUCGGGCGUCAAGGCGACACCACAUAAAGGGCUUAUAAUAGAAUAUAAAUGAUAGUGUGUGCCACAGUCGGACGUCUGAGCGACAUCACGUAAAGGGCUUAUAUCAAAAGUAAAUAACGAGCGUGCCACAGUCGGACGUCUAAGCGACAUCACAUAAAGGGCUUAUAUCAAAAGUAAAUAACAAGAAUGCCACAGUCGGACGUCUGCGCGACAUCACAUAAAGGGCUUAUAUCUCAUAACUUGGUAUUUCAGUAGCUCAUGAAUAUAACUCAUUUCAAGGGAAUAUUCAGGUACGAGAUAAAUAACAGGUUAGUCCAUCCAUAGGAAUAACGUUCAACCAGGUUUACCACUCAAGCUUGCUCACCGGGGAUUUACCACGGAGACUGACAUAGGGACUGACAUGGAUGUGGAUAUACUGGCCAUGGUCCUUGACCAUGGACACGAUGACUCGGAAGGAUUUGACUCUGCAGAGUUUGUACUCUUAACCACGGCCAACGGAUUUCAAUAGCCACCGGGGACUAGUUCCGUUUACGGUGUUUUAGGAGAAACACAUCUAACCAGUACACACCCAUUCAACAUUCCGAUGCCAGGAAUCACCCUCGGCAACGUUCAAGAAAAACCUUGAGACGGGGAGGCUACAACCUCGCGUAGCAUGGGAUCAAAUUUAUACCGCGCGCUCUAAGGGGUGCCCCCCUCUCGGUCCCAACCGGAAACACCCAUGCCCCCUGACCGGAUGACUGGCUUUAAUCCAGGGCCAUGGAACCCUCAUCCCGGCCCCUCUAUUUGGUGUGUACAAGGAAAGAGGUUAACAACUUACUAAACUGUAUUCUUUGCAGAAAACAUGUGGCAGCACGAAAGGGGAAGAACGGUAACGUGGCUCAGUCCACGCUAACGUCGGACUUUAUCGGAUGAUGUAAGACUGGUAUGCUACAACAAUACCAUCUUACUACCUUUCAUGUCACCACAUGAUCAGGUCAUCUCUCAUCAAAGGUCACAGUAACUUCGAAACACACGGAUAGUUGCCUUGCAUGCAACGUAAUACUCACCGAUGCUCGUAUGCCAUGUACAACCAUUCAAGCAAACAUGCAAAACACCUAUCAUAUCAAAGGUUCAAACAUGCUUGCCUGGUUCGGAGAAGUCGGAGUCUAACUCGGCGGAGUUCGCGGCUCCGUCACCUCCUCCGGAACAUACGGUAUAACGAAACCGUAUACUAACGUGAAAAUCGUUGCGUGCAUAAAAAUUGUUCCAAAAAUUUUCCAAGUAAAUACUAUAAAAAACUAGACAAAAAUAUAAGACUCGUAGAAAAAGAAUCAAUCAAAAAUCAUCUUUUAUUAAAAAGAUAUAAGGGUUUUAGUCCAGGGACUAAUCUGUGAUGAAACAGAAAAGAACCAGGGACUUGUUUGAGAAAACAGAAAACGGUUCGGAAUGAAAUGCGCCAGCCCAAAGGGAAAACGCAUUUUGCCCGAAGGCGCUUUCAGAAAACGGUUCGAGGGAGAGAAAGAAGAGAGGCUGACGGGGGGGUCCCACCCGUCAGGUUUAAAACUCCAACGGAGCUCGCCGGCGCCCGAAGGCUGCGGUGGUCGCCGGCGUUGAACCACGGCGAGGCAGAGAGAUCGCAGGGUACUAGUAGGUUCAGGUGGUUCUUCCGCAUCGGUGGGUGGUGGACUUGGCCGUCGGAGAGCACCACGUCGACGGCGACACUUUCUCCGGCGGACGGUGGUUCGAGCGAUGGUGGAGUACUCCGGUGGGUGCUGCAAACUCCAAAUUGAUGCGCGGGUCAGAAGAGUGGAAGCAUUAGAAGACUACUGGCAAGAGUUGAGGGGUAGGGGUGCAUGCACGAGGGUGAAUCGAGCUGGGUCCCGAAGCGGGUCGAGGCGGCCGGAGUUGGGGAAGAAGACUCCCACGGGGGCUGCUCAGUGGAUUGGCGUGGUACUGGUGGUGUGUAGAGGUGGUGCAGGUUCGAGUUCGAGCUCGGGGCCUCCUUUUAUAGGCGAUCUGAGGGGGUGGCCGUGAACGGGAUAGCUCCGGCGAGCAAUUACGGUGAGGCAGAGGUUGGGCAGGGGGUUUAGGUGGCUAGGCAUCAUCAGGGAGGAUCACUGGCACCGUUCCUCCGCUAAACCUUGGUCGGUCUUGGUGUAACACGCCGGUCCCCGACGGAACGGCCGUACGGGCACGGCGGCGGCAGGGAGCGCGCUCCGCGCCUAGCAGUUCACGACGACGGACGGCAGCAUGCACGGGUGAGUGGAUGGCCACGCGGUGGCCUCUAGUGGCUUGGGCGGCGCCGUCCAACGCUGCGCCUCUCUGGCAGCCGCAAAGGCCGCUGCUGCCGUCGCUCACGGGGUGGCGCACCUCCUCCUGCUCAUCGCCGACGCCCGCAAGCCUCCAGGCGAUCGUGCGGCGUAGGGAUAAGAAGGAAGCACAGGGCGCACGGCGCCACCGCGGCCACUGACGAGAUCGAGAAGGGGCUCUGAAGAAAACGACAGUAGUCUCUGAAACUGUUAACUGAACUAUCUGAACUUGACAGAAACAGUGCCAUUCAGGUGUUCGACGAAAUGAUUUGGCAUGAAUAAAUUUUUUUCUGGAGCUGGGACUUGGUGAGGUGACCUCUCAAUGCAUCCAGAGGCUGCCUGAAUUUUCUCAGAUAUUUAGGAGGAGAAAGCAAAUGAAUUUCAUCAAAUUUGGCAAAUAUGGUCCAAACUUGCAGCAAGCUCAAUUUGAAAUAUUUGAACUAGAGACCAGUGGAUUUUCAUGGAUCUUGGUUGAGGGCUCUAAGGACUAGCCAGGGAAAAUUGUUUGGAGGCCAAACUCAAAGUAGAAAUGGUACUCCCUUUGUAAAUCUCCAAGGAUCAAAAUAGAAGGCAGAAAAUAUUUUUGAUAGGAAUUAAAUGGAAGAAAAUUCAUGGGGAGGUUCAACUUGCUGGAUUUGAAAUAUAUCUUGACUCGAAGGGGGGGAAUGGCUUUUGGGAGGGGAUUUCCACUUAGGUCAUGGCAAGAGGAGAUUUUGAAAUGGGAGAAGAUCACUCCAAAAGCCAUAGGGCUAUUUUAAAAGAAAAGAUUUUCAAGAGCUUUUCCAAAUGAAAAACAUUUGUGAUGAGCCAACAUGAGAUGGAAAAACCACCAAGACCAAAGAUCAAGUUUUGGAUGGAACCAAAUAAAAUACUUGUCAUAGAAGAAAAAAAUUGAGAGGGAGAGUUCUUUAGAAGAAAAAAAGUUUUAAAAUAACCUCCCUCAAAACAAAUAAAAGAUUUUGAAAAAAGACCAAAAAAAAUUGGGUGUCACAUAACACCAUGUCAAUUCAUCUGAAAACAGCGUCAGUCCGGGUUAGUUCCAUUCAAAUCAUGCAAGUUAGAGUCCAAAACAAGGGCAAAAGUGUUUGGAAAAGUAGACACGACGGAGACGUAUCAACUCCCCCAAGCUUAAACCUUUGCUUGUCCUGAAGCAAUUCAGUUGAUAAACUGAAAGUGAUAAAGAAAAACUUUUACAAACUCUGUUUGCUCUUGGUGUUGUAAAUAUGUAAAGCCAGCAUUCAAGUUUUCAGCAAAGAUUAUGAACUAACCAUAUUCACAAUAACUCUUAGGUCUCGUGUUUACUCAUAUCAAUGGCAUAAUCAACUAGCGAGCAAUAAUAAUAAAUCUCGGAUGACAACACUUUCUCAAAACAAUCAUGAUAUGAUAUAACAAGAUGGUAUCUCGCUAGCCUUUCUGAGACCGCAAAACAUAAAUGCAGAGCACCUUUAAAGAUCAAGGACUGACUAAACAUUGUAAUUCAUGGUAAAAGAGAUCCAGUCAUACCCAAUAUAAAUUAAUAGUAAUGGAUGCAAAUGACAGUGGUGCUCUCCAGCUGGUGAUUUUUAAUAAGAGGGUGAUGACUCAACAUAAAAGUAAAUAGAUAGGCCCUUCGCAGAGGGGAGCAGGGAUUUGUAGAGGUGCCAGAGCUCCGUUUUUUGAAAUAGAGAUAAAUUAUAUUUUGAGCGGCAUACUUUCAUUGUCAACAUAACAACCGAGAGAUCUCGAUAACUUCCAUGCUACUCACAUUAUAGGCGGUUCCCAAACAGAAUGGUAAAGUUUAUACUCCCCCUCCACCAACAAGCAUCAAUCCAUGGCUUGCUCGAAACAAUGAGUGCCUCCAACUAACAACAGUCCCGGGGGAGUUUUGUUUGCAAUUAUUUUGAUUUCAUUUGCAUAAAGCAUGGUACUGGGCAUCCCGGUGACCAGCCAUUUUCUUGUGAGUGAGGAGCGGAGUCCACUCCUCUUGAGAAUAACCCGCCUAACAUGGAAGAUACAGACAGCCCUAGUUGAUACAUGAGCUAUUCGAGCAUACAAAACAGAAUUUCAUUUGAAGGUUUAGAGUUUGGCACAUACAAAUUUACUUGGAACGACAGGUAGAUACCGCAUAUAGGAAGGUAUGGUGGACUCAUAUGAAAUAACUUUGGGGUUUAAGGGACUGGAUGCACAAGCAGUAUUCCCGCUUAGUACAAGUGAAGGCUAGCAAAAGACUGGGAAGCGACCAACUAGAGAGCGACAACAGUCAUGAACAUGCAUUAAAAUUAAUAAACAUUGAGUGCAAGCAUGAGUAGGAUAUAAUCCACCAUGAACAUAAAUAUCAUGAAGGCUAUGUUGAUUUGUUUCAACUACAUGCGUGAACAUGUGCCAAGUCCAGUCACUUGAAUCAUUCAAAGGAGGAUACCACCCUAUUAUACCACAUCACAACCAUUUUAAUAGCAUGUUGUCACGCAAGGUAAACCAUUAUAAACUCCUAGCUAAUUAAGCAUGGCAUAAGCAACUAUAAUCUCUAAUUGUCAUUGCAAACAUGUUUAUUCAUAAUAGGCUGAAUCAGGAACGAUGAACUAAUCAUAUUUACAAAAACAAGAAAGGUCGAGUUCAUACCAGCUUCUCUCAUCUCAAUCAGUCCAUCAUAUAUCGUCAUAAUUGCCUUUCACUUGCACGGCCGAACGAUGUGAAUAAUAAUAAUAGUGCACGUGCAUUGGACUAAGCUGGAAUCUGCAGGCAUUCAAUAAACAGGAGAAGACAAGGCAAUAUGGGCUCUUGGUUAAAUCAACAAUAAUGCAUAAUAGAUCCACUUCAACAUUUUCAUUAUGGUCUUCUCCUAUCGACCCCCAAAGAAAAAGAAAAUAAAUAAAACUAUUUACACGGGAAAGCUCCCGACAAGCAAAAGAAGAACAGGAAAUCUUUUUGGGUUUUCUUUUAAUUAUUACUACUAUGGCAAGAAAGUAAACUAGCUAAAAGCUACAACUAAUUUUUUUAGUUUUCUUUCUUAAGGUUUAUCAAACACACAAAAAGAAAGCAUAAAAAAGGAAAAUAAACUAGGAUGGAUAUUACAAUGAAAGAGUAUGAGCACCGACAUCUAGCAAUGAGUGUGUGAACAUGAAUAUAAUGUCCGUGAGAAAUACGUACUCCCCCAAGCUUAGGCUUUUGGCCUAAGUUGGUCUAUUGCCACGGCUGUUGUUGGGGAUAUUACCACUGGGCGUAAACCGACCAGGAGAGGCUGGGUUAACCCCAUAAGUAGUUCAUCUGUAUCUGAAGUCCAUGAAGACAGAUGGUGACGCUUUAUGGAGGCCCAGGGCCCAAAGCCGGUUUAAGGCCUGUAGACAUAAACCGGCAUUGAUAUGUAAACUUGUGUUGUAAGAUAGAAGUAGCAGAGACCGAGACGGACACGAUUAUGAGCCGGCCUCGGGAUUCUGUAAACCGACGGGCGUCAACCCAUGUAUAUAAGGGGACGACCCGUCGGCGGUUCAAGGACAACAGACAACAACUCGAGAAUCAGGCAAAGCGUAUUCGCUCCCUGGUCAUCGAAACCCCAACAAUUCCAUCACAACUAGACGUAGGCUUUUACCUUCAUCGUAAGGGGCCGAACUAGUAUAAAAACUCUCUUGCGUCCCUUGUCCGCUUUAACCCCUUUAAGUUAACCCGUAGCGAUGGCUCCUUGACUAAGUCCUUUCUCUAGGACAUCUGCCGUGACAAAACCACGAUAGUUGGCGCCAACCGUGGGGCUAUCGCACGAUGGUUUCAAGUUCUUGGAGGGCAACUUCGAAGGACUCAAGGGUUACGCUGUGGGCCGGAUGACCAAGAGUCGUCGCGGCAAGCUCUACAUCGACGAUGCAGGCUGGGGCCCCGAGGCCGGCUCAAUCGAGUACGGGUACCGGGUCCCCUUUGGUGGCUACAUGUUUUCAUUGGCAAGAUCGGCGAACCGGGCCCUGAGCCGAACAUCUGCACCGACCUCGUCGAAACGGCUCAGCGUGCGAGAUCUGCCCGGGUCAAGCCUGUCAUGAAGCGUGCCUUCGUGGGAGUUAUCCAUGGAGGGGAAUCUGAGGAUAGAUCGGAAUCUGGUGGUGAGACCGUCGUUUAUUCCGGCGACGAGUCAUCGACCAGAGAAACCGAGUCGUUAUAUCAGUUACAAGAUGGCCGGAUUGGGGCUGUUCCGAUGGCGACAGUAUUCCGGACCCCUUUGAUCUGCCAAACCGGGUUGCGAUCUUCAUGGCUGGUACGCAACCGGUGCUCCACUCUUGGACCGCAGCGGCGAUGAUUUCCGGAUCGGCAGCGACAAUAGCGGCCGGGGCAGGAGGCCCUGUGCGACCGCCAGCUCAGGUUCUAUCUUAUUUGUUUGACGCAUUGGCAACGCUGAUGGCGGAGGUUAACCCGGCGGAUCAGGAUGCGCACAAUGCGGAAAUCGCGAAAGCAAAAGAUCAGAUCACCCAGGCCAAAGCCGACUUAGCAGCUGAGGAUACCAGGAUAGCCGCGGAGCGGGCUGCUUUGGAUGCACAAGCUUACCGGAUUAUGCUAGAUCAGAGUGCGUCGAACAAAGUCCUGAAAAGGAGGCACCGAUCUCGCCUGCCGCCGGUUUAUGACGCUAGAAAUCUCUUUAACACCCCAGGAGCAGGGACCAGUAAUCCGCCGGUGGUAAACCGGGCGGAGGCACCUGGAGCAGGAGCGCCGGUUCAGCCACGUUUGGUGGAUCCGCCUCGUCAGAACAACAUUGUAGCACCGCAUGUCCCCACGCCACCGGGUCAUUAUUCUAACCCGAUGGACAACAUUGUCGCUGCCGCUUCACGGCUGGCGGCCAUCCCGACCGAAGGCGAUUCUCCGGCGGCGGUCGAGACGCGUCGGGUUAAGGAGCUUCUUCAGACAGCCUUGGUUCAACAGGAGGCUUAUUCAUAUAGUCGCGAUCGGAUUCCACUCCCCGUCCAAGCCGGAGUUACAGCAGGCGUAUGGAUGAACCGGCAGUGUCAAGCAAUGCGAGGAACCGUGAUCCGCCCCAUGGCAAUAACCCGGCGGGUGGUGCUGGUGAUGCUCAGGAGGUGGUGGACCAGGCUUGGGCACGCAGAGAGGCCGAGUUAGCGGCGCAGCGUGAAGCCCGUCAGCUUACUCCGGUUCGUCCAACCACAUCGGUGGAACCAGGAUUUACCUCUAGUUCUUUGGGAGUGUCGUGUCUCGUCCCGGCGUAUUGCAAUGUGCGCCUGCCCAAGGAUUUCAAGGGCCCGCGCAAGGUGCUGAAUUACACCGCCGAUUUAUCCCCUGAAACAUGGGUCGAAAGCUAUGAGAUGGCCAUGGAGAUGCUGGAUGUAGAUGAUGCGGCAUGUGCGAAAUACUUCACCAUGAUGCUAGAAGGGACAGCCCGCACUUGGUUAAAGAGCUUACCGGCUAAUUCUAUCAGGUCAUGGGCCGAGUUGAGAGCCCGGUUUAUUCAGAAUUUCAAGGAUACAUGCAAGCAGCCCAUUUCAAUUGUGGACUUAGCUGCCUGUGUCCAGGAGGAAGGAGAGUCAACAACCCAUUGGGUGCGCCGGGUUUCAGAGAUUAUGCAUUCAUCGGACUGCAUCAACGCUGACACCGCAGUUUUAACAUUGGAAGGCAAUUGCCGGUUUGAACCCCUGAAGUUGAAGUUGGGACGGCUCAAAUGUCAUUGUAAUGACAUGGGAACCCUCAUGGCUGCACUGGUGAAGUAUGCCGACUCUGAUAGUACCAAGGAUCCCGAGUCUGACGAUGAUAAGACAGGGAAGGGAAAAAAGAGCGGCAACGCCAAGGGGCAGCACCACAACCCGGCGGGUCAUGGAAACGGCGGCAAGCGUAAGGCGGACCAUGGUUUAGACUUUGUGGCUAAUACUAAUACACAUGACAAGGGCCAGCGGCGUAAGGGUAAACCGCCCCAGCGCGGUGGAAGGCCAAGUCCUAAUCCGGACUGUUUGUCUUAUCUAUUGAACCAGCCCUGUCCAAAGCAUGGGACGAAGGAGGACCCAUCCACGCACCUCUGGAAAGAUUGUUACAUCAUGCAAGAGUUCAAAAAUUCUGAUUCUUUCCGGUAUGAUCAUGGACCAGGAGGCGGUUCGGGCCCCGGCUCUCAUGGGUCGGGUUAUGGCGGAGGAAAUUCCGGUUCAGGCUUCCACGGUAAUCAGGGUGGACAUAACAAUCAAAGUAAUCAGGGUAACCAAGGUGGCUAUAAUCAUCAGGGCAAUCAGCAGCAGCAGCAGUCGGGUUACCAGAGCAACCCGAAGCAGUUGAAUAGCGGACAGUAUCAUGUCUUCACCACUAGCUUGGACAGGCGCAAUCAGAAGCUUCGUAAAAGGGCGGUGAAUGUCGUUGAACCGGCGGUCCCCCGAUACUUACGCUGGUCUAAACAGCCUAUUGUGUGGAGUCGAGAGGAUCAUCCACCCCGGAUUGAUAAUCCGGGUCAUCUGGCGUUGGUGGUGGCGCCUUAGUGGGAGGCUAUAAGUUCACCAAGGUACUCAUGGACGGAGGGAGUAGUAUCAAUAUCCUUUAUCAUGAAACUUUCCGUCGCAUGGGGUUAACAGAUAAAAAUCUUAAACCGUCCAACACGGUGUUCCAUGGUGUGGUGUCUGGUAAAUCGGCGUAUCCUAUUGGUAAGAUAGCUCUGGAGGUGGCUGUUGGAGAUGAGCAUGACUCAAGAUCAGAAACUUUGACCUUUGAAGUGGUGAAAAUCAAAAGCCUGUAUCAUGCCCUAUUUGGACGGCCAGCUGAUGCUAAGUUUAUGGCACGGCCUUGUUAUGUCUAUCUGCAGCUCAAGAUGCCGGGUCACAAGGGAACUAUAACCAUGCAUGGGAGCCGCAAGAUUGCUCUGUAGUGUGAAGAAGGUGAUGCGGCUUAUGCUAAGUCGGUUUGUGCAACAGAAGAGUUGAAGUUUUACAAGGACAAUGUUGAUCCGGCAGAUAUGACUUCAUUGAAGAAACCAACUACAGAGCAUGAUCCGGCCCUGAAGUUUAAAUCGGCUGAUGAGACUAAGCUUGUUGACUUCGUGCCUGGCGAUUCGUCCAAGCAGUUUAGCAUUAGCGCUAACUUGGAUCCGAAAUAGGAAAGCGCGCUCAUCGAGUUCAUCCGUGAGAAUCGGGACAUCUUUGCAUGGAAGCCUUCUGACAUGCCAGGUGUACCGAGAGAACUCGCUGAGCACACUCUCAAUGUUGAUCCCAAGUAUAAACCGGUCAAGCAGUUUCUCUGUCGGUUCAAUGAAGAAAGACGCAAGGCUAUUGGAGAAGAAGUAGCCAGACUCUUGGCGGCUGGAUUUAUGGUUGAAGUAUUCCAUCCUGAGUGGUUGGCUAAUCCGGUGCUGGUCCUGAAGAAGAAUGGCACUUGGCGUAUGUGUGUGGACUACACAGAUCUCAACAAAGCUUGUCCAGCACAUCCUUUUGCCCUUCCCCGUAUUGAUCAAAUUAUUGAUGCUAUGGCGGGUUGUGAGCGUUUAAGCUUUUUGGAUGCAUAUUCUGGUUAUCAUCAGAUCAAAAUGGCAGUUAAGGACCAGGAGAAGACAGCCUUCAUAACUCCCUUUGGAGCCUUCUGCUAUGUGUCCAUGCCCUUUGGGCUCAAGAGUGCCCAGGCGACUUAUCAACGGUGUGUGCAGAAUUGUCUUCAUAAACAGAUCGGCCGCAAUGUUCACGCCUAUGUGGAUGAUAUUGUGGUAAAAUCAAGAAAGAAGGAGACAUUGAUUGAUGACUUGAAGGAAACCUUUGAUAACCUGCGGGUUUAUAAAAUGAUGCUUAAUCCGGCCAAGUGUAUCUUUGGUGUACCUGCAAGCAAGCUCUUGGGCUUUUUGGUGUCUAACAGGGGCAUUGAAGCUAUCCGGAAAAGAUCAAAGCCAUCACCUCCUUGGCUAAACCGAAGUGUAUCAAUGAUGUUCAACGCCUGGCAGGCCGGAUUGCCGCGUUGAGCCGGUUUGUCAGUCGCCUUGGCGAGAAGGCCAUCCCUUUGUAUCAGAUGCUAAAGAAAACGGAUAACUUCGUCUGGAGUGACGCCGCUAAUGAAGCAUUUGAGGACUUAAAGCGGCAGCUAGCUAAUCCGCUGAUUCUCGCUGCUCCGGUUGACAAAGAACCAUUGUUGCUAUAUGUGGCAGCUAACGCUUGGGCUGUUAGUGUGGCUAUUGUGGUGGAGCGCAAGGAGGCAGGAAAGGAAUAUCCGGUUCAGCGGCCGGUUUACUAUACCAGUGAGGUACUUAUUGAGUCCUAGCAGAGGUACCCGCAUUGGCAAAAAUUGGUGUAUGGGGUUUUCAUGGCAAGCCGGAAGCUUAAGCAGUAUUUCCAAGGUCAUCCCAUCACGGUGGUCAGCUCUGCUCCUUUGGGGGAUAUAAUCCAGAACAAGGAAGCAACUGGCCGGAUUGCUAAGUGGGCUAUCGAGCUCGGGCCUCAUGGGUUGAAAUACAUACCCCGAACGGCGAUCAAAUCUCAGGCACUUGUGGAUUUCAUCAAUGAUUGGACAGAAUUACAAGCGCCAGAGGAGAAGCCGGAUCAUACUUAUUGGACUAUUCAUUUUGAUGGGUCCAGGCAAUUGGAGGGCUCGGGGGCUGGAGUCGUAUUAACUUCCCCACGAGGUGAUAAGUUUUGUUAUGUUCUCCAUUAAUGUUCCCUUGCACUAACAAUGCAGCUGAAUAUGAGGCUUUACUCCAUGGUCUUCGGAUGGCUAAGGAGAUGAACCUAAGCCGAGUUAAGUGCUUCGGUGACUCGGAUCUGGUGGCUCAACAAGUGUCCGGCACUUGGGAUUCCAAGGACCCACUAAUGGCAGCAUAUCGUCGUGAGGUGGAUAUUGUUGCAGGUCACUUUAAAGGUUAUCAGGUGGAUCAUGUGGACCGGCGGAAGAAUGAAGCGGCGGACGCUUUAAGCCGCCUGGGUUCCCAAUGUAAACCGGUUCCACCUAAUGUCUUCCUGGAUGUUUUGCAUAACCCGUCCGUCAAGCUCCCUGGUGAAGAGGAUUUGGCUAUUCCUGAUCCGGAGGCUCAGUUGGUGGUGGCCCUUCAUGUUAUCCCGGAUUGGACGGUUCCAUAUCUGGCGUAUAUGAACCGGGGCGAGUUACCAGAGGAUGAAACUCUGGCCAGGCAGAUAAUCCGUCGGUCCAAGUCCAUGACUAUUAUCAAUGGAGAGUUACAUCAUUGCAGUGUGACAGGGGCGUUUCAACGCUGUGUGUCUCCUGAGGAAGGCCGUGAAUUUUUGCGUGAGAUCCACGAAGGAGAUUGUGGUCACCACGCCGGUUCAAAAUCUUUGGUGGCCAAGGCGUUCCGUCACGGUUUCUAUUGGUUGACAGCUCAUGCUGAUGCCGAGGACUUGGUCAAAAAAUGUGAUGGCUGCCAGAAAUUCUCAAGACGCGCUCAUGUACCGGCUCAAGAAUUGAGGAUGAUUCCAGUCACCUGGCCGUUUGCAACUUGGGGGCUGGAUAUGGUUGGGCCUUUCAAGAGGUCCAAGGACAAGAAGACCCACCUUUUGGUGGCGGUUGAUAAGUUCACGAAGUGGGUGGAGGCAGAGCCAGUUAGUAAGUGUGACGCAGCCACGGCGGUUCAAUUCAUCAAAAAGGUGAUCUUCUGGUUCGGCUUUCCACACAGCAUUAUAAUAGACAAUGGUACCAAUCUGUCAAAAGGUGCCAUGAAGGAGUUCUGUCAAUGUGAGCACAUCUGGCUUGACGUGUCAUCAGUGGCUCACCCACAGUCUAAUGGUCAAGCGGAGAGGGCCAAUCAAGAGAUCUUGAGAGGCAUCAAACCCCGGCUUAUGGUUCCUUUGCAACGGACGCCGGGUUGUUGGGUUGAGGAGUUACCUUCUGCGUUGUGGAGCAUCAAUACCACACCCAACAGAUCGACAGGAUACACACCAUUUUUCAUGGUUUAUGGAGCGGAAGCAGUUCUUCCUAGUGACAUCCGUCAUGACUCGCCUCGUGUAGCGGCAUAUGUUGAAGCUGACAACGAGAAGGCACAACAGGAAGCUCUGGACCUGUUAGAUGAGGAACGUGACAUGGCGGCAGCCCGUUCGGCGAUUUAUCAGCAAGAUCUGCGUCGUUAUCAUAGCCGCCGGGUUAGAACCAGAACCUUUCAAGAAGGUGAUUUGGUGCUUCGGCUCAUCCAGGAUCAGACGGAUAUGCACAAGCUAUCCCCCCCCUUGGGAAGGACCCUUUGUGGUCGGCAAGAAUCUACACAACGGGUCGUACUACCUAAUCGAUGUUCGAGAGCGCAAUGACUCACGUAAAUCAGAGGAGGAGACCAACCGGCCAUGGAAUAUUGCUCAUCUUUGGCCUUACUAUACUUGAGCUAUAGGCUCUGCUUAUGUACAUAUUAUGACAAUGUAUAUAUUAUGAUCAAUAUAAUAAACCGGAACCUCGGCUAAAGCGGGGUAUCUGUGGUUUUUCUUACAUCAUGUGUGGUUACAUGGAGCUUACAAAGCGGCGUCCGGUUUACCCCUUGAUUUAGCUUCUCUAAGCUUUAUAUUGCAUCACUUGGGGGCUUGGUCCUAUCCGAACCAUAGCUACACCUCUUGAUCGGCGCAAUGCCACAGCAUCACUUGGGGGCUUGGUCGUAUCCGAACCAUAGCUACACCUCUUGAUUGGCGCAAUGCCACAACAUCACUUGGGGGCUUGGUCAUAUCCAAACCAUAGCUACACCUCUUGAUCGGCGCAAUGCCACAGCAUCACUUGGGGGCUUGGUCGUACCCGAACCAUAGCUACACCUCUUGAUCGGCGCAAUGCCACAGCAUCACUUGGGUGCUUGGUCGUAUCCGAACCACAGUCACACCUCUUGAUCGGCUCAAAGCCACAUCAAUCCGGGGCCAAAGAGAGUGUUGUAAAACAACAGCUCAAACAUAGGCACCCAUUGAGCACAGCUCACAAUGUUGCUUGGGGAUUCUUUGCUGUCGAAUUUAGGGCCUGGCAGCCCGUGAAAAGCCUCGACUACAACGGUUUUCAUUUGCCUUUUGCUAAGUUUUCUUUGUUUUCAUAAGAUUUGUGAUGUUUUUAAACCGGUGAUUAUCAACCCGGUUAGGCUGUCAACUACAAGUUGUCAGUACACGAUCAAAUUAUAAUCCGGAGACUAUCAGCCCGGUCUGGUUUUGACUCAAAGUCACCAGUAUGGAAUAAGCCGAUGUUGAUCAGAACUCGGAACGGUUUUAUUGUAAACCGGUAUCAUAUAACAGGAGUUACUUAUCCUCGAGAGUAGGGUUAUGGCCCUCACUACAAAGUUGGUCAGCCAACAUCAUGCCUAAAGGUCCCAGGUAUCAUAUAAUUCCAUAUUUGGUUAUCUUUUACAACCUUGGUUAUAAACCGUGGUCAUAUAUAUAUUUGGGUAUCAUGACUCGCCCGGUGGUAAACUGCCAGGGCGCUUUAAGCUUCUUAUCUGCAGGAACAACUUGAAUAAAUAGCUAUGGAUUAUGAACAUCAUAUCUUAAAGCAUGGCGGAUUAACACGCAUCAGUUGCAGAUAAAUAUGCAUGAAGGCAUAACAGACCAAGUGUUUUAACUAUUCUAUUACAAGGCGUUUCAGUGCCCAGAGGAAUAAUUGUUUCUCAAUAAGCAUUGCAGCACGUGGAAGACUAAACCGGCCCCCGGAUUAUGAUUGCUUAUCAGCUUGACCUGACGGCUGCGGAUCAUCUUGCACCGGUUCAUCUUCUUCGUCUCUACCCAGCGGCUGGAAGUCAACAUUUAUCCAGUCGAUCCCAGUUAAAGCUUGGAACACAGCUUCGUCGCUUAUAAGGGUUGACGGUUCAAUAUCAGGGGCAUAAGUGUGCUUACGGAUUGGAGGGAUCAGAUUUUGCGCUUUCGGAAUUGGUGCAACAACCCGUUUGUUCUUGUCAUCAUAACUUGCCUGAUAGUAUGAGAGAUCAGCUUCUUCAGCCAAUUGACAAGCCAGUGGACGUACUUCCCGGUUUAUGGUGCGGAGAUCCUCCUGGCCAAAUUCUGAUCCGUCUUCUUUUAAGCUUGGGAAGCCUUUAGCCACGUCCACCGGAUCAAGAUCAGGCACCCACGCCUUUGCCCGGGUUAGAGCGGUCAGAGCUCCGGCCCUUGCCGCAGCUUUCUUUAGUUCUUCAACCCGGGCAGGCACCAUGGAUAGCCUUUCUAAGGUGUCCUUGAUCAAUGUUGGUGGCGGUUUAUUGUGUGAAGCGGUGCAGAUGAUCCGCUGCGCACCGGUAUACAGCUGCUCUAUCAAAGUAUAGGCCGCUUUCAAUUUCUUCUGUACGUCAGAGCCCAGAUGGCUAAUACGAGUUCCUGCAUCAUGAUAAACGUCAGUAAACCAGCGACACAUGGGAAGAUAUGUUGAAAGUAUAAAGCAAGGAUGCUUACCAAACACAGCAGCGGUCAUCGCAUGUACUUGCCGCUUUACACCAGUCAGCUCAUCUACCACCGGUUUGAGAGCUGCCUCUGUGUCUUCAGCUCUUUUCUGCAAAGCGGAUUUCUCUGUGUUCCAAUCCGUCUGCUCCUUGUUGAAGCUCUCCUUUAGCUUUUCCAUAGCGGCUAAGGCGCUCGUCAGCUCAUCUUUUGCCUUGGAAGCUUCGACCUGUUGGGACUUGAUAUUUUCUUGCAGAUCGGCGAUUUGAGAUUCCUUUUUGCUCAGUUCAGCCUAUAAAGAGACAGAUAUAUAAUGAGUUGACAGUACAUAUUUGAAGUACCAAGCACAUAACAAGUUAUGCCCUUAGUACUUGGGGGCUAAUGCAUAUUUGCUCUUAAUCAGAAAUUUUUACAAGUCCCAAGCACAAUACAAGUAUUAAGCUUGGCACUUGGGGGCUAAUGUGUAUUUGCUCAUAAAAUGCUGAUAUUGGAAUUCUUCUACAAAGUGACGGUUCAUCUUUAUAAAGUUAAACCGGCCCUUGGGGGCUACAUCAGUGAAGUUAAGAUGCAUUGUUGCAAACAUGAAAUUGUUACUAAGUCCCGGUUUAAAUUGGUAUCUUAAACCGUCACUUGGGGGCUACUGGAGUUGAUAAGCUGCAAAUAAAUAUAAGAGAGAAACACUUAUGAAAGUUACCUCAUAUCGCUCCUUCAUCAUAUUUACCAAACCGGCUUCAUAGUCACGGCUGGUGUACAGACGGUUCAGGAAGCCAGAGUGAAGGUCUUGAGCAUUCAGAUGGGCAUAAUUUGACAAAUCGGCGUUCCAUUUGCCCUUGCCAAUUGCAGAGAGCUCAUCUUUGGCAGUAUGCUUUGACAAAGCAACAGGAUUGCCCGGAGCGGUAUGGCCAGUGCCAGUAAUCAUAAUGUCAUCAUCUUUGUCAUCAGCAGCCGUUACUGGGGUUGGCGGUUUGUCAGUAUUCUUAACUGGACUUGCCGGUUUAUUGUCAGUUCGGACAUGGCUGGUUGGCUGGUCAGCAUGGCUUGUGGUGUCAACUUCUGCCUGCUCAGCAACGAAGUCAUGAUCUUGAGGCGGUGGGUCAUUCAGUAUGGCAUCAAUGUUGGUCUCUUCAGGAGCUGGAGUUUUCUCCGGUUCAACAGCCACGUCUUCAUCACCCGGUUUAUUCAACCGAGCUUUCUUGCUGGGUCUGGGCUUGGCGCUGAGAAAAAUAAACAUAAGGAUCAGUACAAUAUAUCAAAAUAGCAACAUCAAGGAUAACAACAAGUGUAUAGCUCACCCAAGAACCGUUUUGAGGGAUGGAAGUUUUGUGGCCGACGACUCGCCAGAAGAUGAGUGAGAAGUACCCUGAUAAUUUGAAUCAGGCGGGUUAAGAGGCUGGCGGAAACAACCUGCUUUGGGGCAUGAAGUAUCAAUGGGAUAAGAGACCUCUGAUCGGCGUUUCCGAACCGGACGGUUCGGUAAACCGGCGGAGGUAACUACCUGGCCGCUGUGCCGGGUUGUGCGGCGAGCCUCGUGCUGCUGUGUCUUCAAAAGAAAUUUUGGGUCCAAGUAAGCAAGGGGGUGAGAAAAUUUUACUUUCCAGUUUGCUCGACGGAUUUUCGAUGUCGGCAGAGGAUCUGAAUCGGCGGAAAGAAUGAUUACCUCUACAUCGUCAGUAUGACUGCCUUCAGCGUCGUCCUGAUAAUAAUCAUUGUCAAUGAGGUGUACGAAAAAUGAACCAAGAGAGUCAGGUUCUACCUCUGGUUCUGGAUUACCCACAUCGUCAUCAGCUGGUAGGUCGGAGGAUGCAGUGGUCCUUCUCUUGGCAGGGUUUUUAACGACCUUGGUCUUUGGACGAACUGGCUUGACCGGUUUGUCUUGCGGCUUCGCCGGUUUGUCUUGUGAUGGUUUCUUGUUCCAGAACGGAUCAUCACCCUGUCAGAAAAUAAUCACACUUUCAGAGAAUAUUUGGACAAAAGCAACUUCAGAUAAAAAGAUUAUAUGAUUCUUACAGCUGGUGGUUUGUUGAAGGUGCAGAAAGGGAGUAGUCCGGUUUGGGAACAGACAGCCUCCGGUUCGUUCAGUAUCUUUUUUACAGCCUCAGUGACUUCUGCAUCUAUAAGCUGAAUGUCAAUGUGCCGCUGAGCAUCCUUCAAACUCCCCGUAUACUCACACAUCAAACCGGAGCGCCGGCUUAAGGGCAGAAUACUCCAGCUUAUCCAACAACGAGCAAGAUCAACUCCUGUCAAACCGUUUUCCAUGAAGGCUCUGAGCUUUGAUAAUUGAGGAGCAUAGUUGGCCCUUUCUCUUGCAGUCAACCUCUGAGGAAAAGGAUGUGUGUUGCUCAAGCGUUCAGGGCGGUAACCCGGCAGGGGGUUUUCAUCAGAUGGAGAGGUAUCCAUGCAAUAAAACCAAGUCUGGUUCCACUCUUUGGGGUGACUGUGGAGUUUGGGAUGAGGGAAGGUGACUUCUUUCCUUUUCUGAACCGCCAUUCUGCCCAGUUCCGUAUUGGGUCCAUCCGAGAACUUUGUGCGACGGUUUAAGUGAAAGAAAUCCCUAAACAGUUUGACUAUAGGUUCCUCUUGCAGGUAAACCUCACAGAAGACUUGGAAGUGGCAGAUGUUGGUUACAGAAUUGGGACCGAUGUCUUGAGGGCGCAGCUGAAAAUUGGCUAGUACAUCUCGGAAAAUUUUCGAACCGGUAGGGCUAAAACCUCGACUCAGAUGGUCAGCAAACACGACUACCUCUCCGUCCUUGGGUGUAGGAGGAUUUUCCGGGCCAGGGACCCUCCAGUGGAUGACAUCUUUCUUGGCUAAAGCGCCCGUUUUAACAAGAUUGUUUAACUGUUCUUCGGUUACUCAAGAAGGAGCCCAAUUGCAUUCAUAGACUUGCUUGGCCAUGGCAAUGAAAGAUCUGAAACAUGGUUAUUGCCGGUUUAAGAUUUACAAAGGACAACUAUACAGCGGUAUAAGGAUGUUAGCAUAUUGUUAAACCGGAAUUGGUUAUUCGUAAACCGGAGUCUGACAAUGGAAACAGUACAAUGAUGAACGCAUUAGCGGUUCAACAGGGGACUAAUGGUAUCUACUGGGUCAUCAUUCUGUAUAUGAAGUUAAACCGCCCAAUCUGGUAUUAAAAAUGUACAAGUGAAGGAAGAAACAAGUUUCACAUCUUGCCAGGGUAAUUUCAGAUCUACCGCGCGUUGGAAAAACAAAAUAUAUUCUGACCUAAUUUCCAGCGUGUUAAAGGUUCACCAAGUUCAGAUGAGUUGGAUAUCAAGUAGGUGCCUUAACAAGAAGAAAGGAUUCUAAACUACAAAAGGCGCUGAAAAUAGUCAGAUCUAACCGGCCAUUGGUGCUACCGAAGGAAGAACAGCUUCAAGCUAUGAAGAACACCGAACCCUAAUGGCGGAUCUAGGGCGAGAAGAAGAGGGACUUACUGGUGCAGGAGGAAGCAGCGGAGGGUCACCGCUUUUCUCUGGUACGAUCAGGUUGAUGCAGCGGCCUUUGUCGAAGCAGAGGCGAAGGACGACAGUGGCAGCAGAGCUUGAGGGUCGGUCGGCGCGAGGAAGACGACGACGUGAAGAUGCACGAGGGGGAAAAUGGAAAGACCCCCUGGCCCUAUUUAUAAGGGCAGAAAAAUAAGCGUCAGGCGCGAGAAUCGAGGAGCCUAAAUUUUGGAUAUGAGGCGGAGCUGUCGCCUCGAUUGUUGGAGGCUCGUUAAUGAAGGUGGAUUAUACACAGUUUUAAAUAACAGGUGACGUCAUGGCGGUUUACCAUGAUCCUAGAAGAUGAUGUCACGGCGGUUUACAAGAUCAUGUGAAGAUGUUGAAGAAGAAAAUUUCUGAAGUAUUGAGGAUUGACGUGAACCAGUUCAAAUCAAUCUGGGUCCUAAUGUUGGGGAUAUUACCACCGGGCGUAAACCGGCCAGGAGAGCCGGGUUAACCCCAUAAGUAGUUCAUCUGUAUCUGAAGUCCAUGAAGACAGACGGUGACGCUUUAUGGAGGCCCAAGGCCCAAAGCCGGUUUAAGGCCUAUAGACAUAAACCGGCAUUGAUAUGUAAACUUGUGUUGUAAGAUAGAAGUAGCAGAGACCGAGUCGGACACGAUUAUGAGCCGGCCUCGGGAUUCUGUAAACCGACAGGUGUCAACCCAUGUAUAUAAGGGGAUGACCCGGCGGCGGUUCAAGGACAACAGACAACAACUCGAGACUCAGGCAAAGCGUAUUCGCUCCCUGGUCAUCGAAACUCCAGCAAUUCCAUCACAACUAGACAUAGGCUUUUACCUUCAUCGUAAGGGGCCGAACUAGUAUAAAAACUCUCUUGCGUCCCUUGUCCGCUUUAACCCCUUUAAGUUAACCCGUAGCGAUGGCUCCACGAUAAAGUCCUUUCUCUAGGACAUCUGCCGUGACAAAACCACGACAGCUGGCCUGGCGGAUAUCCAAAGUUAUAGUUGGGGUCGUACUGAGAUGCAGCAGUCAUUGCAUUGUGUGCUACAGCUUGGAGGCGAGCUACCUCAGCCCUCCUCUUAUACUCGUCCACCUCCUCCCUGGUUAUGAAAUAUCUUCCCUUUGCCUGAAAGUCAAAGAAUGUAGAAGCAGGGAGAGUGACGUGAUAGGUGCAUCGUCUAUCAAAGAUUAGUCGGUACUGGAGGAACUGAUCGUUCCUCUUAACAAAACGAUGACGAACCAUAGCCUCAUAAUCUAAAUAAGCAGGAGGCAACUCAAUAUCAUCCUCACGUAUGGUUACACCAAGAGAAUUAGCUAAACGGGUUGCAUAAAUUCCACCAAAGAAAUCUCCAUUAAAUCUAUUAUUAUGCAACCUACGUGCAACAAUGGCUCCCAAAUUAUAAUGUUUAUCUCCUAACACAGCACUCCUGAGAACACUAAGGUCAGGGACACACAUGUGACAUGCUUCAUCCUUACCAUUUAUGCACCUACAUAUGAAGAGAGCAAAAUAAUGUAUAGCAGGAAAAUGAAUGCUCCCUAUGGUAGCUUGUGCUAUGUCUCUAGAUUCCCCCACAGUUAUACUAGCAAGAAAAUCUCUAAAAUCAGAUUUGCGAGGCUCACUAGUACUACCCCAUUGUGGAAGUUUGCAAGCAGUGGUAAAAUCCUCUAAGUCCAUAUUAUAAGAAUUUUCAUAAAGAUCAAACAGGACAGUUUGAGAAUUGCGUGAACAUGAAAAUUCAAACCUCCUCACAAAGGAACUAGUGAGAUAGUGGUACUUACGGCACUUAUCUGCCUCGAAGCUCACAAGAUCGGCGUUGCGUACAUGUGUGUUAAAUUCUUCCUUGAUUCCUCCUUGAUCCAUGAAGUCCUCUGAAGGCCAUUCACAAGCCCGCACUGGAGCGUCCCUUGGUGGUUCAUCAUCAGCAUCACGCAUUGCAAGCAUGGGUCCUUGCUUCCUUGAAGAACCACCUUGGUACAUGUUCCUAAACAUAUUUCUUCCUCUGAAAAAUUUCUGAAAUUUUUAGUAACUUCAAAUAAAGGUGAACCAAGCUCAACAAAAUUGAUAGCAACUACUCCUACAAGUGACUAGAGCCUAUAUCAUGCAUUAGAACUACUUGGAACCAUAUAAAUUUGACAUGCAAGCUCAAGAAUAGGGUCACCUAGGCAGCACAAAUUUGCAAUGAAUAAAGCACUAGAAUAAAAACUAAUUGGACCAUUGGAGGAGUCGCAUACCAAGGAACAAUCCCCCAAAGUAGUUUUGUGAGAGGUGCUUUGAGCAAGGAGAUCAAAAAUCGCAGCAAAAUGAGCUAGAACUCAUGCUUGAGCUGGUUGGUGAUUUUUUUGGGAGAAAGAAGACGUGUGUGGGUGCAGGAAUAAGUGGAGGGGAGCCACCAUGGGCCCACGAGGCAGGGGGCGCGCCCUGGACCCUCGUGCCCAGGUGCUUGCUCCCCCUGAUGUGUUCUCAGUGCCAGAUAUUCUCAAAUAUUCCAGAAAAAAUCAUAUUAAAUUGGCAGGGCAUUUGGAGAACUUUUAUUUUCAGGGUAUUUUUAUAUUGCACGGAUAAUUCAGAAAACAGACAGAAAAUACUAAUUUUACUUUAUUUCAACUAAAUAACAGAAAGUAAAAGGAGGGUACAGAAGGUUGUGCCUUCUAACUUCAUCCAUCUCAUGCUCAUCAAAAGGAAUCCACUAACAAGGUUGAUCAGGUCUUGUUAACAAACUCAUUCCGACUAACAUGGAACCGGAGAAAUUUCGAAUAACACUAUGUUACCUCAACGGGGAUAUGCACAUCCCCAAUAAUAAGAAUAUCAUAUUUCUUCUUGACAAUAGGUAGAGGAAAUUCGAAACCUCCAAAAAUAAUCGAUGGAAAUUUUCCAAUAGAGUUGAUACUAUGAACUUGAGGUUGUUUCCUCGGAAAGUGUACCGUAUGCUCAUUACCAUUAACAUGAAAAGUGACAUUGCCUUUGUUGCAAUCAAUAACAGCCCCUGCAGUAUUCAAAAAGGGUCUUCCAAGAAUAAUAAACAUACUAUCGUCCUCGGGAAUAUCAAGAAUAACAAAGUCCGUUAAAAUAGUAAUGUUUGCAACCACAACAGGCACAUCCUCACAAAUACCGACAGGUAUAGCAGUUGAUUUAUCAGCCAUUUGCAAACAUAUUUCAGUAGGUGUCAACUUAUUCAAAUCAAGUCUACGAUAUAAAGAGAGAGGCAUAACACUAACACCAGCUCCAAGAUCACAUAAAGCAGUUUUAACAUAGUUUCUUUUAAUGGAGCAUGGUAUAGUUGGUACCCCUGGAUCUCCUAAUUUCUUUGGUAUUCCACCCUUGAAAGUGUAAUUAGCAAGCAUGGUGGAAAUUUCAGCUUCCGGUAUCUUUCUUUUAUUAGUAACAAUUUCUUUCAUAUACUUAGCAUAAGGAUUCAUUUUGAGCAUAUCAGUCAAACGCAUACGCAAAAAGAUAGGUCUAAUCAUUUCAGCAAAGCGCUCAAAAUCCUCAUCAUCCUUUUUCUUGGAUGGUUUGGGAGGAAAAGGCAUGGGUUUUUGAACCCAUGGUUCUCUUUAUUUACCAUGCUUCCUAGCAACAAAGUCUCUCUUAUCAUAACGUUGAUUCUUUGAUUGUGGGUUAUCAAGAUCAACAGCAGGUUCAAUUUCUACAUCAUCAUCAUUACUAGGUUGAGCAUCGACAUGAACAUCAUCAUUAACAUUAUCACUAGGUUCAUGUUCAUUACCAGAUUGUGUUUCAGCAUCAGAAAUAGAAAUAUCAUUAGGAUUCUCAGGUGGUUCAGCAAUAGGUUCACUAGAAGCAUGCAAAGUCCUAUCAUUUUUCUUUUUUUUCUUUUUAGAGGGACUAGGUGCGUCUAUAUUAUUUCUAUGAGAAUCUUGCUCAAUUCUCUUAGGGUGGCCUUUAGGAUACAAAGGUUCCUGAGUCAUUUUACCAGUUCUAGUAGCCACUCUAAUAGCAAAAUCAUUAUUCUUACUAUUCAAUUCAUUGAGCAAAUCAUUUUGAGCUUUAAGUACUUGUUCUACUUGAGUGGUAACCAUAGAAGCAUGUUUACUAAUGAGUUUAAGUUCACCUUUAACUCUAGACAUAUAAUCACCCAAGUGUUCAAUCAUAUAAGCAUUUUGUUUUAAUUGUCUACCAACAUAAGCAUUGAAGUUUUCUUGUUUGACAAUAAAAUUAUCGAACUCAUCUAAGCAUUGGCUAGCAAACUUAGUAGGAGGGAUUCAAGCUUUAUCAUAUCUAUAGAGAGAAUUUACCUUUACUACCUGUGUCGGGUUAUCAAAACCAUGUGUUUCUUCAAUAGGUGAUGGAUUAAAACCAUGUAUUUCUUCAACAGGCGGUAAAUUAAGACCAUGUAUUUCUUCAAUAGGAGGUAAAUUCUUAACAUCUUCAGCUUUAAUACCCUUUUCUUUCAUAGAUUUCUUUGCCUCUUGCAUAUCUUCAGGACUGAGGAAUAGAACACCCCUCUUCUUUGGAGUUGGCUUAGGAGUUGGUUCAGGAAGUGUCCAAUUAUUUUAAUUUUUCAACAUAUUAUUCAAUAGGAUUCAGCUUCAUCUGGUGUUCUUUCCCUGAAAACAGAACCAGGACAACUAUCCAGGUGGUCUCUGGAAGCAUCGGUUAGUCCAUUAUAAAAGAUAUCAAGUAUUUCAUUUUUCUUAAGAGGAUGAUCAGGAAAAGCAUUAAGUAAUUGGAGAAGCCUCCCCCAAGCUUGUGGGAGACUCUCUUCUUCAAUUUGCAUAAAAUUAUAUAUUUCCCUUAAGGCAGCUUGUUUCUUAUGAGCGGGGAAAUAUUUAGCAGAGAAGUAAUAAAUCAUGUCCUGGGGACUACGCACACAACCAGGAUCAAGAGAAUUAAACCAUAUCUUAGCAUCACCCUUUCAUGAGAACGGAAAUAUUUUAAGGAUAUAAUAGUAGCGAGUUUUCUCAUGAUUAGUAAACAGGGUGGCUAUAUCAUUUAAUUUAGUAAGAUGUGCCACAACAGUUUCAUAUUCAUAGCCAUAAAAAGGAUCGGAUGCAACCAAAGUAAUUAUAUCGGGAUCAAUGAAGAAUUCAUAAUCCUUAUCAGUAACAAAGAUAGGUGAAGUAGCAUAAGCAGGAUCAUAUUUCAUUCUAGCAUUCAGAGUUUUUUGUUUAAGCUUGGCUAAUAAUUUCUUAAGAUCACUUCUAUCAUUGCAAGCAAGAAAGUCUCUAGCAGUUUCUUCAUCCAUAACAUAGCCCUCAGGCACAACAGGCAAUUCAUAUUUAUUGGGAGAGUCUUCAUCAUCACUUUCAUCAAUAUUAUCAGUUUCAAUAAUUUCAUUCUCUCUAGCCCUAGCAAGUUUUUCAUCAAUAAAUUCACCAAGUGGCAUAGUAGUAUCAAGCAUAGAAGUAGUUUCAUCAUAAGUAUCAUGCAUAGCAGAAGUGGCAUCAUCAAUAACAUGCGACAUAUCAGAAUUAAUAGCAGAAGCAGGUUUAGGUGUCGCGAGCUUACUCAAAACAGAAGGUGAAUCAAGUGCAGAGCUAGAUGGCAGUUCCUUACCUCCCCUCGUAGUUGAGGGAUAAAUUUUUGUUUUCUCGUCUUUCAAGUUCCUCAUAGUGACCAGCAGAUAUAAAUCCCAAGUGACUCAAAGAAUAGAGCUAUGCUCCCCGGCAACGGCGCUAGAAAAUAGUCUUGAUAACCCACAAGUAUAGGGGAUCGCAACAGUUUUCGAGGGUAGAGUAUUCAACCCAAAUUUAUUGAUUCGACACAAGGGGAGCCAAAGAAUAUUCUCAAGUAUUAGCAGUUGAGUUGUCAAUUCAACCACACCUAGAUAACUUAGUAUCUGCAGCAAAGUAUUUAGUAGCAAAGUUGUAUGGAAGUAACGGUAACAGUAGCAAAAGUAAUAUUUUUGGGUUUUGUAGUGAUUAUAACAGUAGCAACGGAAAAGUAAAUAAGCGGAGAACAAUAUGUGAAAAGCUCGUAGGCAUUGGAUCGGUGAUGGAGAAUUAUGCCGGAUGCGGUUCAUCAUGUAACAAUCAUAACAUAGGGUGACACAGAACUAGCUCCAAUUCAUCAAUGUAAUGUAGGCAUGUAUUCCGAAUAUAGUCAUACGUGCUUAUGGAAAAGAACUUGCAUGACAUCUUUUGUCCUACCCUCCCGUGGCAGCGGGGUCCUAACGGAAACUAAGGGAUAUUAAGGCCUCCUUUUAAUAGAGUACCGGACCAAAGCAUUAACACAUAGUGAAUACAUGAACUCCUCAAACUAUGGUCAUCACUGGGAGUGGUCCCGAUUAUUGUCACUUCGGGGUUGUCGGAUCAUAACACAUAGUAGGUGACUAUAGACUUGCAAGAUAGGAUCAAGAACUCACAUAUAUUCAUGAAAACAUAAUAGGUUCAGAUCUGAAAUCAUGGCACUCGGGCCCCAGUGACAAGCAUUAAGCAUAGCAAAGUCAUAGCAACAUCAAUCUCAGAACAUAGUGGAUACUAGGGAUUGAACCCUAACAAAACUAACUCGAUUACAUGAUAAAUCUCAUCCAACCCAUCACCGUCCAGCAAGCCUACGUGGAAUUACUCACGCACGGCGGUGAGCAUCAUGAAAUUGGUGAUGGAGGAUGGUUGAUGAUGACGACGGCGACAGAUUCCCCUCUCCGGAGCCCCGAACGGACUCCAGAUCAGCCCUCCCGAGAGAGUUUAGGGCUUGACGGCGGCUCCGUAUCGUAAAACACAAUGAAUCUUUCUCUCUGAUUUUUUUCUCCCCGAACACGAAUAUAUGGAGUUGGAGUUGAGGUCGGUGGAGCUCCAGGGGGCCCACGAGGCAGGGGCGCCCCCCCCCCCACCCUCGUGGCAAGGGUGUGGGCCCCCUGGCCUUGAUUCUUUCGCCAGUAUUUUUUAUUAUUUCCAAAAAUAAUCUCCGUGGAGUCUCAGGUCAUUCCGAGAACUUUUGUUUCUGCACAUAAAUUAACACCAUGGCAAUUCUGCUGAAAACAGCGUCAGUCCGGGUUAGUUCCAUUCAAAUCAUGCAAGUUAGAGUCCAAAACAAGGGCAAAAGUGUUUGGAAAAGUAGAUACGACGGAGACGUAUCAAUGCCCAUAUUGGUUCCUACAUAUUCAACGAAGAUCUUUAUCGGUUGAACCAGGAUGUCAAGGAUUCAGUCAAUCCCGUAUGAAAUUCCCUUUGUUCGGCGAUAUGUUACUUGCCCGAGAUUCGAUCGUCGGUAUCUCCAUACCUAGUUUAAUCUCGUUCCCGGCAAGUCUCUUUACUCAUUUCGUAAUACAAGAUCCCAUGACUAAACUCAUUAGUCACAUGAAGCUUCUUAUGAUGUUGUAUUACUGAGAGGGCCCAGAGAUAUCUCUCCGUCACGCGGAGCGACAAAUCCCAGUCUCGAUCCAUGCAACCCAACAGACACCUUCGGAGAUAUCUUUAGAGUACCUUUAUGAUCACCCAGUUAUGAAGUGACGUUUGAUAGCACACAAGGCAUUCCUCUGGUAUCCAGGAGUGGCUUGAUCUCAUGUUCUAAGGAACUAAUACUUGACAUGAAGAAAGAGAUAGCAAAUAACUAAACGAUCUGAUGGUAAGCUUACGGUUGGGUCUGUCCAUCACAUCAUUCUCCUAAUGAUGUGAUCCUAUUAUCAAAUGACAACUCAUGUCUAUGGUUAGGAAACCAUAACCAUCUUUAAACGAGCUAGUCUAGUAGAGGCUUACUAGGGACACGGUGUAGUUUAUGUAUACACACAUGUAUUUAAGUUUCCGAUCAAUACAAUUUUAGCAUGAAUAAUAAACAUUUAUCAUGAAUGGGAAAUAUGAUAAUAACCAUUUUAUUAUUGCCUCUAGGGCAUAUUUCCAACAGUCUCCCACUUGCACUAGAGUCAAUAAUCUAGUUCACAUCGCUAUGUGAUCAACCCCCAAUGAGUUAUGGGGUUUGAUCAUGUUUUGCUUGUCAGAGAGGUUUUAGUCAACGGCUCUGCAACAUUCAGAUCCGUAUGUACUUUGCAAAUCUCUAUGUCUACAAUGCUCUGUAUGGAGCUACUCUAGCUAACUACUCCCACAUUCAAUACGUAUCCAGAUUAAGACUCAGAGUCAUCCAGAUCGUGUCAUAGCUUGCAUCGACGUAACCCUUUCCCACGAACUCUUUAUCACCCAUAACCGAGAAACAUUUCCUUAGUCCUCUGUAGGUACCUAAGGAUAUUAUUAACCGUUGUCCAGUGAUAUACUCUUGGAUCACUUUGAUACCUCCCUGCCGUACUUAUGGCAAGGCACACAUCAGAUCUGGUACACAGCGUGGUAUACAUUAUAGAGCCUAUGGCUGAAGCAUAGGGGAUGACUUUCAUCCUUUCUCUUUCUUCUGCCUUGGUCGAGCCUUGAGUCUUACUCAAAUUCACACCUUGCAAUAUAGGAAAGAACUCCUUCUUUGACUAAUCCAUUUUUAACUCCUUCAAAAUCUUUUCAUGGUAUGUGCUCCGUGAAAAUCUUAUCAGGCGUCUUGAUCUAUCUCUAUAGAUCUUGAUGCCCAAUAUGGAAGCAGCUUUACCCAUGUCUUCCUUUGAAAAACUCCUUUCAAACAACCCUUUAAGCUUUCCAGAAAUUCUACAUCAUUUCCAAUCAACAAUGUAUCAUUCACAUAUACUUAUCAGAAAUGCUAUAGAGCUCCCACUCACUUUCUUGUAAAUACAAGCUUCUCUGUAAGUUUGUAUAAAACCAAAAGCUUUGAUCACCUCAUCAAAGCUUAUAUUCCAACUCCGUGAUGCUUGCACCAGUCCAUAGAUGGACCGCUAGAGCUUGCAUACUUUGUUAGCAUCCUUAGGAUCGACAAAACCUUUCGAUUGCAUCAUAUACAACUCUUCCUUAAGAAAACCGUUAAGGAACACUGUUUUGACGUCCAUCUGCUAGAUUUCAUAAUCAUAGUAUGCGGCAAUUGCUAACAUAAUUCUAACAAACUUAAGCAUCGCCACGGGUGAGAAAGUGUCAUCGUAGUCAACUCCUUGAAUUUGUCGAAAACCCUUUGUGACAAGUCAAGCUUUAUAGACGAUGAAAUUACCAUCAACGUAUGUCUUCUUCUUAAAGAUCCAUUUAUUCUCAAUGGCUUGCCGAUCAACGGGCAAGUCCACAAAAGUUCAUACUUUGUUCUCAUACAUGGAUCCUAUCUCGGAUUUCAUGGCCUCAAACCAUUUAUCAGAAUCCAGGCUCAUCAUUGCUUCUUCAUAGUUCGUAGGUUCACCGUUGUCUAACAACAUGACUUCCAAGACGGGAUUACCAUACCACUCAGGUGCAGAACGUGUCCUGGUCGACCUACGAAGUUCAGUAGUAACUUGAUCCAAAGUUUCAUGAUCAUCAUCAUUAGCUUCCUCUCCGGUUGGUGUAGGCAUCACGGGAACUACUUUCUGUGAUGUGCCACUCUCCAGUUCGAGAGAAGGUACAAUUACUGUUGGGAAACGUUGCAUGGAAGAAGAAAAAUCUACGCAGGCGCAAGAUCUAUCCAUGGAGAAGCAUAGCAACGAGAGGGGACAGUGUGUCUACGUACCCUCAUAGACCGUAAGCGGAAGCAUUUAUUAAUGCGGUUGAUGUAGUCGAUCUUCUUCGCGACCCAACCAAUUGAGUACCGAACGUACGAAACAUUUGCGUUCAGCACACGUUUAGCUCGGUGACGUCCUCGCCUUCUUGAUCCAGCAAGACGGCGAAGUAGUGGAUGAGUUCCGGCAGCACGAUGGUGUGGUGACGGUGGUGGUGAUGCUAUCUUCGCAGGGCUUCACCUAAGCACCCCGAAAAUAUGACCAAGGGACGAAACUGUGGAGAGGGGCGUCGCACACGGCUAAGAGAUUGGCGUGGGCUAUGUGUGGCGCCCCCUCCCACAUAUAUAUAGGUGGGGGAGAGGGGAGGCAGCCAGGAGGCGCCCCAAGUGGGGCCGAAUCCCACUUGGGCUCCUGCCCCAAGCCGCGCCCCCUUUCCUUGUUUGUGUGCGGGAGGAAGGCAGGUGCCCCCCCCUUUCCUUUCUCUCAUGGGGAGGGAAAGGCAGGAGGGGCCAACCCUCUCCCUUUCCUUCCCCUAGGGCCGGCGGUCAGGGAGAGGGGCGCGCCAGCCCCCUUGUGGGUUGGUGUGUCCCUCCUCUUGGCCCAUUAGGCCCAUAGACCUCCCGGGGGUGUCCGGAACCCCUUUCGGCGAUCCGAUGACUACCCGGUGCACUCCGAAACUCUUCCGGUGUCCAAAUAGUAUCAUCCUAUAUAUCAAUCUUUACCCCCGGACCAUUCCGGAGCUCCUCGUCAUGCCCGCGAUCUCAUCCGGGACUCCGAACAACAUUCGGUCACCAAAUCAUAUAACUCAUAUAACACUAUAUCGUCAAUGAACGUUAAGCGUGCGGACCCUACGGGUUCGAGAAGUAUGUAGACAUGAGUGAGACACCUCUCCAGUGAAAAACCAAUAGCGGAACCAGGAUGCCCAUAUUGGCUCCUACAUAUUCUACGAAGAUCUUUAUUGGUCGAACCUUUAUGACAACAUACAUAAUUCCCUUUGUCCGUCGGUAUGUUACUUGCCCGAGAUUCGAUCGUUGGUAUCUUCAUACCUAGUUCAAUCUCAUUACCGGCAAGUCUCUUUACUCGUUCCGUAAUACAUCAUAUCGUAACUAACUCCUUAGUCACUUUGCUUGCAAGCUUCUUGUGAUGUGUAUUACCGAGAGGGCCCAGAGAUACCUCUCUGUUACUCGGAGUGACAAAUUCCAAUCUCAAUCCAUGCCAACUCAACAAACACCUUCGGAGAUACCUGUAGAGCAUCUUUAUGAUCACCCAUUUACGUUGUGACGUUUGAUAUCCCGCAAGGUAUUCCUCCGGUAUCCGCGAGUUGCAUGAUCUCAUCGUCAAAGGAAUAUGUAUUUGACAUUAAGAAAGCAAUAGCAAUAAACUGAACGAUCAUAUGCUAAGCUAACAGAUGGGUCUUAUCCAUCACAUCAUUAUUCUAAUGAUGUGAUCCCACUAUCAAGUGACAACACAUGUCUAUGGUUAGGAAACCUUAACCAUCUUUGAUCAACGAGCUAUUCUAGUAGAGGCUUGCUAGGGACACGGUAUUUGUUUAUGUAUCCACACGUGUAUUUAAGCUUCCAAUCAAUACAACUCUAGCAUGAAUAAUAAACCUUUAUCAUGAAUAAGGAAAUAUAAAAUAACAACUUUAUUAUUGCCUCUAGGGCAUAUUUCCUUCAAUUACCUCAUCAAGUUCUACUUUCCUCCCACUGACUUCUUUCGAGAGAAACUCCUUCUCCAGAAAGGAUCCAUUCCUGACAACAAGGACUUGUCUUCGGAUCUAUGAUAGAAGGUAUUCUAUGAAGACAUACUUCUCCGCUUUGGGUUCGAGCUUAUCAGGCAUAAGUGUCGCAUCCCCAAACUUCAAGAAACUACAACAUAGGUUUCUUGCCAAACCGUAGUUCUUAUGGUGUCAUCUCAAUGGAUUUAGAUGGUGCCCUGUUGAAAGUGAAUGUUGUUGUCUCUAAUGCAUAACCCCAAAAUGAUAGUGGCAACCUGGUAAGACACAUCAUAGAACGCACCAUAUCCAAUAGAAUACGAUUAUGAUGUUCAGAUACACCAUUACGCUGUGGUGUCCCAGGUGGCAUGAGCUGUGAAACAAUUCCACAUGCAUACCAAAUUCGUAACUCAAGUAUUCACCUCCACGAUCAGAUCAUAGAAACUUUAUUUUCUUGUUAUGAUGAUUCUCCACUUCACUCUAAAAUUCUUUGAACUUUUCAAAAUGUUUCAGACUUGUGUUUCAUUAAGUAAAUAUACCCAUAUCUACUCAAAUCGUCUGUGAAGGUAAGAAAAUAAUUAUAUCCACCGCGUGCUUCAACACUCAUCGCAUCGCAUACAUCGGUAUGUAUUUAUUUCCAAUAAGUCACUAGCCCGCUCCACUGUUCCAGAGAACGGAGUUUUAGUUAUCUUGCUCAUAAGGCAUGGUUCACAUGUCUCAAGUGAUUCAUAAUCAUGAAAUUUUAAAAGUCCAUUAGCAUGGAGUUUCUUCAUGCGCUUUACACUAAUAUGACCUAAGCAGCAGUGCCACAAAUAUGUGGUACUAUCAUCAUUAACUUUGCAUCUUUUGGCAUCAAUAUUAUGAAUAUGUGUAUCACUACGAUCGAGAUUCAACAAGAAUAAACCAUCCACAAGGGGUGCAUGACCAUAAGAGAUAUUAAUCAUAUAAUAGAAUAAUCAUUAUUCUCUGACUUAAAUGAAUAACCGUCUUGCAAUGAACAAUAUCCAAAUAUAAUAUUUUAUGCUCAACGCAGGCACCAAAUAACCAUUAUUUAGGAUUAAUACUAUUCUCGAAGGUAUUACGAGCAUGCCGAUGGUGAUCAUAUCAACCUUGGAGACACAUCCAACACUCAUCGUCACCUCGCCCUCAGCUAGUCUCUGUUACUCCGCAGCUCCUGCUUCGAGUUACUAAUAUUAGCAACUGAACCGGUAUCAAAUACCCAGGUGCUACUACGAGCACUAGUGAGGUACACAUCAAUAACAUGUUUAUCAAAUAUACACGCUGUCGGAUCACGGGUUCCGGCAAAAGCCGUAAGGUUCGAACUCUGGGGUGCGCGCGAAGUUCUUUCCCUCCUAUCGGUCCACGCCCUAGCUUGCUAAGAUCUCGCGGACGAACUCAACAAACUCACAACACAAGAGACACAAGAUUUAUACUGGUUCGUGCCACCGUUGUGGUGUAAUACCCUACUCCAGUGUGGUGGUGGUGGAUUGCCUCUUGGGCUGAUGAUGAACAGUACAAGGGGAAGAACAGCCUCCUGAGGUUGAGGUGUUCUUGUGCUUGGUGUGUGGCUAAGGAUCAGGUGAGAUGCCUCUUAAUGAGUUAUCUCCUACGGUGGUGGCUAGUUCUAUUUAUAGAGGCCCUGGUCCUCUCCCCAAAUAUUGAGCGGGAAGGGAGCCAACAACGGCCAAUUUGAAAGGGGACCACUAGUACAGCUUAUCCUGACAAAAGCGGUCUUCACCUGCAAAAGGCUCUGGUGGUGACGCCGCCUUGGGCUCCAUGGUGACCUCCAUCUUGCCGUCCUGCUGGUCUUGGUCUCGUUGCACUGAUAUGGAAACCUUUGCUUGAUGCCUCGGUACUCUGCGCCUGCACUUGCCUCCUUAGCACCAAAGGGGAAACAAGGACGCUGCGCGCGCUGGCGCCCGCCUGGUCUCGAUCGUCAUGGCUCAUGUCACGAGAACCUCGCGAGGUCUGCCUCGCCUUGAUCUCUCUGCCCCUCGCGAGCCUGCCUGGUUAGGCCGCUCCUGAGGAGGUCUUGUGUUGUCCGCCUCGCGAGGCUUGGCCCCUCGCGAGGGUCUUGAAUGCCUUGUUGAUGAAGAUGGGUCGUACAGGCCUGCUAGCACAGCCACGCCGUGGGCCGCAGGCAGGCAAGUCUGGGGACCCCCGUUUCCAGAACGCCGACAGUAGCCCCCGGGCCCAAGGUGCGCUCGGGCUUGGCUUCAAGGCGAAGCCAAAGGUCAAGUACGGAGCCCCGUGGGCCCCAAAAGCCUGCGGCCUUGGUCGACGUGUGGCGGUUGAUUGGACGUGGGCGUCUCCGCUUCCCCACGCUGCCUCGGCAACUGCCCGACUUGACAAAAGGCUGGCGCAGACAGUGCUUGCCUUCAUUGCUUGCCUUCGCCUUGCUCAGAUCCCCUUUCUUGCGCCCUGCUUCCGAAAUCCUCAGAUCUGCUUCAACCCUCCACCGCAUCAGCGACCGAUGGCGCCGCGUAAGGUCAAGCCCUCCUCGUUGCCGGCUUGGUACGAACCAGCUCUUGACGUACCCAACAUCUCGGAGAAGAGCCUUGCCGCCAUGCGCUUGCUGACGGCGGGGGAGAGCAACGAAAGGGGGAAGACGGAGCCCCGAGCUGCCUCCGACGUGCCGGAGCCCGAGGGGAGCACGUUCUUCCGCUUCUUCACGAGCAGUAUCGCCGCUGGGUUGGUUGCUCCUUUCUCUGAUUUCUUCUACGAGGUCCUCGGCCACUACGGGCUGCAGGCGCUGCAUCUCCAUCCCAACUCCAUCCUUCUCUUGUCCAUCUUCGCCUAUUAUUGCGAGGCGUAUCUAGGCAUGAUGCCGUCCGUGGCUCUGCUGCGCCACUUCUUCUUCCUCCGCACCAGCGAGGGUCAUAUCUCCGGGUGCGCCAAUUUCAUCGCGACCGGCAAGGCCAACUCGAUCUUGAACACCGGGAAGAAGGCCGACAACCUUAGGGCCAAAUGGGUCAUGAUGGGCGCCAAGUGUGUCCACCCGCGCUUGGCGCUGCCGACGGAAAUGCCCCAGUCCGACAAGGGGUGGUCUCGUGCAAAGCUCACUGAUGAGCGGGCGUCGUCGGUGUUGGCGCAGAUGCAGAUCAACCUGAAGCCGGGCAACACGAAGGCGGCGAAGGUGACAGGGGCCAUGCUCCUGAGGGAAUUCCUGCUGCUGCGCGUCGCCCCUCUUCAGGCGCGUGCGCGCCCCUUGUGGAGGCUUGGAGAUGAGGAAGACAAGAUUCGCCUGAGCCCGAAGGCCUUGCCUGAUAACGAGCUGUCUGCAGUUUUCCGCCUCUUGGUCGGGGACAACCAAGAGUACCCGCCGAGCGCCUUCGUUCCUUUGUUCCGCCGCGUGGACUGGGAGCAGAUCGUGGCCGCCCGGCCGACUUUUGACGCGCGUGGGCUGGUGCCGCCGGCGCCCACCGGGGCCUCUGCCACGCCGAAGCCGGUGGAGCUGUCUUCUGACGAGUCCCGUGGGAAGGAAGAAGAGGAGGUGGACUCAGAGGCGACCCCCGAAGAGAUGGGGGAGACUUCCCCUUUGAGCAAGGCCGACAUCCUCCGCGCCUUGCCAGACGACGCCGAGAUCGACGCCUGUCAGGAGGAGGGAGAGCUGCCCGUUAUCCCGACGAGGGGAGGUCGUCGCUGGUUUCUCGGGGUGCUGCCUCCGCCUCGACGCCGCCAGGAGCUGCCUCCGGCCCUUCUGCUGCGCCGUCUUCUGCUCCUGGGGCCCGUGUGCCCACUCCUCAGGCUCCGAAGCUUUCGGGUUUUAGGCUCCCCAAGCGGAAGGUGGACUACAUCGCGGUGGAUCAGUAAGUGCUUCGAGCUUCGUCUUGUUCCUACUUGUACUUGCUAUUUUCUGACGUUCACCCUUGGUUGAUCAAGCCGAUGCCUUCGGCGAAGAAAAGGAAGGAGGACACAGCGGCCGCGCCCCCCUCUGCAGAGAAAGGAGGCGACAGAACUCGCACCUCCCCAACCCGGUCGCCCUCAUGAGGCCAAGAGGAGCAUCGUCGGGAGGAGUCAGCCCCCGUGGCCCCGCUGGCUCCGGAAGUGCCGGUGCCUGGCUCGGCUGAUGAGGUCCUGAAGGCUCGGGAGCCCUUGGUCUCCCAGGCUCUGGUGACAACGCCGCCUCCUCCUCCUGCUGCGCUUCUGGCCCCAGGUUCUUCUGCUUCCUCCACUGUCUUGGAGCGUGUCCUUUCGGAGAUGGCCCAGCUGCGGGAAUAUCUCCUGGGCGCGGACCCGCGCCUGGUAGCCGGGCGCCUGGAGCUAGCCUCUGGCUGGCUUCACUCCGACUCAGCGGUUCGAGCGUCGCUGAGCCAGGCCGCGGAGGCCUCCGAGAAGGAGAAGCAGGCCGCUGUCAAAGCUGCAGCCGAUCGUGAGGCGGCGCUGAAGGAUGCCAAGGCCGCCCGCGACCGCUGCCGAGAGCUGGAGGACGAGCUGAAGAGCCUGCGCGACCAGCACGCAGAAGAAGCACGUGGCCGCCAGGCGAGGGAGGAGGAGAUGAGGGCUCGGGAGGACGCCAUCAAGGGCCGCGACGCCGAGCUGGGGGAGCUGGCGAAGGCGCAGGCCGUGGAGCGCAGCCGGCUGGAGGAGUUGGAGCGGGAGGCGAAGGCGAGGGAGGCCGAUCUUGACGCCAAGGCAAAGGUCCUGGCUGAAGACCGCGUGGGCUUCUCGCUUCUUGAGGAGAGGUCCAGCGUGGCGCUGAAGUCACUGUACAAGAAGGGCUUGGAGAAGCCGCUGACCACCGAUGAGGAUGGCCCUGCUCAGCUGCUUCCCCACUUGGUGAAGGUGCUUGAGGAAGUCGUGGAGGGCAUCGGUCCCAUGGCUGAGGCAGAGGCUCGUGUCCUUUCUUUGGCUGCACAGACACGUGUCUUCAGCCAUCCGUACCUUCGCGACCCCAGUGCUCGUCUUGACGAGCUGCUGGAGCCUGUAGCUGAUGAACACUGCACGGCUGUCGCCGUAGCCGUGAAAGGUCAAGUGGAGGCCCUGCUGAAGAAGUUCCGCGGCUUCGUCCUCGCGCCCUCGACCGGCGAUGCCACCGAUCCUGCGGCUCCAUCUGGUGGUGCAGGUGAAGGCGGCGCUACCAAGGGAGGAGCACCUUCUGCGGGUGAUGGCGGUGUCCAGGGGUGACUUGCUUGCGGCUGCUUCCUUGUUUUAUCCCUGCAACAUGUAUCAUGCCUCGUGGAGGCAUUUAAACUCGUGCUUGGUAUUUGGGAGAACGAUAUUACUUGUAAUAUUUGCUUUGAGAUUUUGCGAUUUUCUUCCUAUUUGCUUUGUGUUCUGCGUCGGCAGAGCCCGGCCCCGCGCAUACCUCAACCGCCGUUGGGCCGACCGGAGAACAGGACGGACCAAGGAGUGAGGGGCUACGUGACUAGUUAGGCUCCUUUGUCGCAAUGCUCAGGAGUCCCCCUUGACGCGCAAACAGCUUAUAGGAAGGAUAUGCGAGGAUAGGUUAAUGUUCUACGUCGGCAAAGCCCGGCCCCGCGCAUACCUCAACCGCCGUUGGGCCGACCGGAGACCAGGACGGACCAAGGAGUGAGGGGCUACGUGACCAGUUAGGCUCCUGAGUCGCGAUGCUCAGGAGUCCCCCUUGACGCGCAAACAUUCUCCAUACCUUUGCCCUCGCCGAGGCUCAGCUCGGGAGGGGCGUGCGACGACCAGGUCCGAGGGACCUGGCUUGGGCGGCGUACGCUCAGGCGUGACCCAAGCGCAGCCCCUCGCGCGGCUCUCCUGAGGGGAGGUGUUGCGGUGAGGCCGGACACUGAGCUCUGGGGCUCCCUGAGGUUGGUACGGCCGUGAGGCUGCCCUCAGUUGUUUAUCACCAGCGUGGAGCAUAGUGCUUCCGCUUGUGCACGGGCAUAGCCGCUCCUCGGCAGUGUCGACGGCCAGCGUGGAGCAUGGUGCUUCCACUGGGCGUGGGAGGGGGGCUCCCUACUGCGGAGAGCCCCGGGGCGUGUACAGCCCCGCCCUGACACGUGGCUUGCACAGCAGGGCUGGACGAGGUGUAUCUAGGCACUCGUGAGCCAGCGGGACUCACGAGGCCCUACCUCAAGGUGGGUUGCGCCUGGUCUUGGUUCUUGUUCGCUGUGUUGAUCCUGCGAGGUGGUCAGCCAACCUGCGCCGAACGAAUCUCCUAAGGCUAUCGCGUGAGAAAGCCAAGCACCAACGGCCCCAGGAGGUGACGUGAACGGGGCCGGCCCGCCAGACAGAGCUCAGCCGUUGGAUUUAUCGACGCUGCAGGGACGGGCCCAAGCACAGACGCCGUGCCUAACCUACUCACGUGAAGGAUCCUGAAGAAGGAUGGCCGGCGCGCGGCUCCCAUGAUGGGUGACGAUCGAGCAGGUAAUAGUCAUAGAUAGGUUAAGCAUGGAAAGCAAAUUGGCUUAAGUAAAUGCAAGGGAGAUACAUGCCACUGGGUCGGGCCCGAGCGGCUUGGGGAUGAUGCAGCCCGAGGGCCGCCCCCAACAAGGUAAGCUAAAGACAUAAAAAGGGAUACAUGCCACUGGAACGGACCCACGUGGCCUGAGAAUGAUGCAGCCCGAGGGGCGCUCCCAGCUAAAUGAACUUGGAAAAUGUCACCUGGUUCUGUUGACAAAGGAGAGUUGGGGCAGCUGAAGGUACGCGGCGAAGGGAUUGCUCCUCACGAGCCACCGGGGCCCUGAGCCUCAGGAGGCUCUGGGGGUCCAGGUGGUUCCCUGAGGAUCGUCUCCAUCUCCGUCAGGACGGCGCGAUGCCUGGCCUCCUGAGCCACCAGGAUGCUCCGCGGGUUGCGCUGAUAGGCGGACGACACGCUCGGCAGGCCAAAAGGCAUGCGAACGUAGCUGUGCGGUGGACCCUCGCAGCGGCCCACGUGCGAAGGCCAAAAGGGCUCCUGAGAUGCUGUCCUAUUGAGCCCUGGGACGUCGAUGCAGACGCGCAGCCCAGCAUCCUCGCCUGGAUGGGGAGCUGCGCCUGGUGAGCGGCGGCCGCCGCGCAUGGCCCUUGCGUCUUGCAGUUCCUGAGUGGUUCUGGUGAUGAACUCCUGAGCGGUGGGCACUCCUCGCCCUAUGUUCUCCUGAGGGAAACGUGCCGCGAAGCACGCCUCCAAGUGGUGCCCGAGCGCCUCCCUUGUGAUGUUGGCAAGGUCGGAGGCCCUCCAGAAGAGAGCCCCCGAGCCCUGCCCGAGGAGGGCGCCGGGCGCGCCUUCCUAUGCGAUGGAGGGAGGCUCCCCUGGCACGGGCGCUGAUCCUGACGAGGUUCCAGUUGCGACGCCACCCUCCUGAGGUCCUGCACGGCGCAGCUGCUUCUUCUUCUUGGGGAUAGCCUCAGGAGGGCACUCGCCCUUGCUGUCGGGGUCGUCGAUUGCUGUAGCUUGAAAGGCACGCUCAAGGGAGCACACCGCAUCUCUUUCUUCGCAUGGGACCGUGAUGAUUCCACCGCUUCCCGGCAUCUUGAGGACAUUGUAGCCGUGAUGGGUCACCGCCAUGAACUUGGCCAGGGCUGGAUACCCGAGGAUGGCAUUGUACGGCAGGCGGAUGUGCGCGACGUCGAAGUCGAUGAGCUCGGUGCGGUAGUUCUUGCGUUCUCCGAAGGUGAUGGGGAGGUGGACCUGCCCGAUUGGGGGAGUGGAACCGUUGGUCACUCCUGAGAAAGGCUUGGUAGGCUGAAGCUGGUCAUACGGCACUUGGAGGUUGUCGAACGUGUCGCGGACAGGACGUUGAGCCCUGCGCCGCCGUCGAUGAGGGUCUUGGUAACAUGCACGUUGCUGAUGACUGGUGAACAAAGCAUUGGGAGGGCGCCAGCGGUAGCUGCGCACUUGAGCUGAUCUGCCGAACUAAAGGUGAUGGCGCACUUGGACCACCUGAGCGGACGUGUGGCCUCGAGCUUGGGGAGGACUGCAUUCACUUCACAAGCAAACUGUUUGAAGAUACGCUGCGAGGCUGGGGCCUGAGCUCCGCCCAAGAUGCAGGCGAUAGCACGCGGCUCCUGGAAGCCCCCAGCCCCCUCGUCUUGAUGGUGGUCGUCAUUUCUUCUUGGCGGUGGCGGUAGUGGGGGAAGACCGGCGUUGCCCUGAGGACGAUCCUCACGAGGCUGGUCCCUCCAGGCGCCCUCACGAGGCUGAUCCUGCCAGCGGUCCUCACGAGGCCGGUCGCACCACUCCUGGCGCAGGCCACGGUCAUCCCAGCGUCCGCCACCACGUCCUCCUCCUCGGCCGUAGCCCCGGUCGUUGCACUCGGGGCGUCGACCGAAGCGUCCUUCUCGAAUGGCUCUGAGCUCUUGACAGUCGCUGAUUUUGUGGGUACGCAGGUUAUGGAAGGCGCAGAAUGGUCGGCUGCUCUUGGAUGACUCGGGCUGGUCUCUGCCGCGCUUAGUAUCUGGCUCCGCCGCGAGCACGGCUGCUCCCUAGCGCUUCACGUCCUUGGCCUUGGCUUUCUUCUCCUCCGGGUCCGCAGCAUGAAGCUCAAGGAGGGAGAGGCGCCCUUCCUCAGCUCUUGCGCACUUGGUCGCCAGGUUGAACAGCUCCAGGGAUGUGCACAGUUCCUCGUGGAUAGCGAGCUCCUCCUUCAUCUUGACGUCGCAGACGCCAUCAGAGAACGCGGAGAUGAUGGCCUCGUCCGUCACCUUGGGGAUCUUGAGACAAACGUUGUUGAAGCGCUAGAUGUACUUCUGGAGGGUCUCUCCUGGUUGUUGCUUGACGUGACGCGGGUCACCCGCGGCCGGGGGGGCGGUCGCGAGUGCCCUGGAAGUUGGCGACGAAGUGGUUGCGCAUCUCGUCCCAUGAGGAGAUCGAUCCCGGAGGCAGGUUCAGGAGCCAGGAGCGGGCGCCAUCCUUGAGAGCCAUGGGGAACCAGUUCGCCAUGACUUUCUCGUCGCCAUUGGGCGCCUUGAUGCUCAGCUCGUAGAGCUGCAAGAACUCCGCGGGGUCGGGGGUGCCAUCGUAGCGAGGAGGCAGAUCUGGCUUGAACUUGCCCGGUCAGGCGACGCUGUGCAGCUCAGGAGUGAAGGCGCGGCAGCCGGCUGUGGUCACAGGGGCCCGUCUUGGAGGUGGAGCUUGGUCUUGAUGCCCCCGCGCCGCUACGGCGAGCGGCGUGGGGCCUUGUCGCGGCAAACGAUCCUGGCGCGGCGGUGCGAGGAGUGGCGGAGCGUUCUCUUGCGGUCGGGGGACUUCUUGACAGCUUCUUUCUUCACGUGCGGGCGCCUGAUGAGGUGGGUCGCGCUGCGGAGCCGCACGCCUUGGCGCCAGGGCGCCAUCUUGGGGCAGAGGUGGUGGAAGUGCUCCGUGAGCUACGUCACCCGUAGCUGGCGGAGGGCGAGGCGGAGAAAGGGACGGCGCAGGGGAGCCCCCUGCAGCGCGGACGAGCUCGGCGCUGCGGUUAAGCCAGUCCUCGUAGAGGUCGUUGACUGGGCGGUAGCGCAGGAGCUCGUGCGCCAUGAGAAGCGCGGCCCAUGCGUCCAUGGGAGCGCGACGAGCGUGGGACGACGAACCAGCGGGAGUCGGCGAUGGAGUGGCGGUGCGGCCGUCCCGCCGCACCGAGGGGUGCAGCAAGGACGCUUGCUGCUCGUUCCCCGCCGGGCCGGUGGCGGCAUUGGCGGCAGGCGACGGAGAACAACGAGGUGGCCCGAUGACGGGAGCCGUCUGAGCAACGCGGGUGGCGAGGGCAGCCCGGCGCUCGGCGCGGGCGCGGCGUGCGUCCGCCAUGGAGAUGACGAAGCGAGCGACGCGGAGCGAUGGAAGGGAAGCUUCGGCGCACCCCUACCUGGCGCGUCAAAUGUCGGAUCAUGGAUUCCGGCAAAACCCUUAAGGUUCGAACUCUGGGGUGCGCGCGAAGUUCUUUCCCUCCUACUGGUCCACGCCCUAACUUGCUAAGAUCUCGUGGACGAACUCACAACACAAGAGACGCAAGAUUUAUACUGGUUCGGGCCACCGUUGUGGUGUAAUACCCUACUCCAGUGUGGUGGUGGUGGAUUGCCUCUUGGGCUGAUGAUGAACAGUACAAGGGGAAGAACAGCCCCCUGAGGUUGAGGUGUUCUUGUGCUUGGUGUGUGGCUAAGGAUCAGGUGAGAUGCCUCUUAAUGAGUUAUCUCCUACGAUGGUGGCUAGUUCUAUUUAUAGAGGCCCUGGUCCUCUCCCCAAAUAUUGAGCGGGAAGGGAGCCAACAACGGCCAAUUUGAAAGGGGACAGCUAGUACAGCUUAUCCUGACAAAACCGGUCUUCGCCUGCAAAAGGUUCUGGUGGUGACGCCGCCUUGGGCUCCAUGGUGACCUCCAUCUUGCCGUCCUGCUGGUCUUGGUCUCGUUGCACUGAUAUGGAAACCUUUGCUUGAUGCCUCGGUACUCCGCGCCUGCGCUUGCCUCCUUAGUACCAAAGGGGAAACAAGGACGCUGCGCGCUGGUGCCCGCCUGGUCUCGAUCGUCAUGGCUCACAUCACGAGAACCUCGCGAGGUUUGCCUCGCCUUGAUCUCUCCGCUCCUCGCGAGCCUGCCUGGUUAGGCCGCUCCUGAGGAGGUCAUGUGUCGUCCGCCUCGCGAGGCUUGGUCCCUCGCGAGGGUCUUGAAUGCCUUGUUGAUGAAGAUGGUCCGUACAUGCCUGCUAGCACAGCCACGCCGUGGGCUGCAGGCAGGCAAGUCUGGGGACCCCCGUUCCCAGAACGCCGACACACGCGUUGACGUUACCAUCCUUAUUAUCUACCAAGUACUUGGGGUAAUUCCUUUUCCAGUGACCAUUCCCCUUACAGUAGAAGUACUCAGUCUCAGGUUUGGGUCCAGCCUUGGGUUUUAUUCACGGAAGCGGAAACUUGCUUGCCGCUCUUCUUGAAGUUCCCUUUCUUUCCCUUGCCUUUUUUCUUGAAACUAGUGGUCUUAUUAACCAUCAACACUUGAUGCUCUUUCUUAAUUUCUACCUCCGCGGCCUUAAGCAUCCCGAAUAGCUCGGUGAUCGUUGUCUCCAUCCCUUGCAUAUUAUAGUUCAUCACAAAACCCUUAUGGCUUGGUGGAAGUGACUGGAAAACUUUGUCAACUGUUGUCUGUAUGGAAGAUUAACUCCCACUUGAUUAAGCGAUUGUAGCACCCAGAAACUCUGAGCGCAUGCUCACUAACUAAGUUAUUCUCCUCCAUCUUGCAGGCAAAGAACUUGUCAGAGGUCUUAUACCUCUCAACAAGGGCAUGGGCCUGAAAUACCAAUUUCAGCUCUUGAAACAUCUCAUAUGUUUCGUGGCGUUCAAAACGUGUUUGGGGCCCUGAUUUCAGUCGUAAAGCAUGGCGCACUGAAUUAUCGAGUAGUCAUCAGAACGUGUCUGCCAGACGUUCACAACAUCCACAGAUGACGCUAGAGGGGUUGGCAGACUGAGCGGUGCAUCAAGUUCAUAAGCCUUCUGUGCAGCAGUGAGGACAAUCCUCAGACUACGGACCUAAUCCGCAUAAUUGCUUACAAUAUCUUUCAAUCUAGUCUUUCUCUAGGAAUGUAUUAAAACAGGAAGCUACAGAGCGAGCUAUUGAUCUACAAUAUAAUUUGCAAAGACAAUUUAGACUAUGUUCAUGAUAAUUAGUUAAGUUAAUCAAAUUACUAGUGAACUUCUACUUAAAUCAACAUCCCUCAAGUUGUCUAAGUGUUCACACGAACCAACCCAUGUCCAAUCAUCAUGUGAGAUGGGGUGGUCAUCAACGAUGAACAUCUCCAUAUUGAUCAUAUCUACUAUAUGACCCGUGAUCGACCUUUCGGUCCUCCGUGUUCCAAGGUCAUGUCUGUACAUGUCGACCGAAGCCUAGCACCCCCCUUUCGAAUGAGGGGGUAUGAGGGGUUUUCGCUCUUCCUUUUACUUCAAAUGAUUGAAGGGUAACAUCGACAUUUAAAGUCCAACUCUACAAACAAACAAAUACCCAUUCCCUAAAAAAAAAGACCCAUUGUACCACCGUCUCAAAAGGGAAAGAAAGGGUGCGCCUUCUUCGCCACCGCCGAUGGCGCAGUCGCUGGCGAUGACGGCGAUAUGCCGCCUCCGCGGUGCCGCCACCCACUCCUGCGGCGGGCACUGGCGCCGCCUCUUCUCCCGCUCCCCCGCCGCCUGCGCUCCUCUCCUCGGCCACUUCCACCACCCCACUCCGACGCCGCCCAGUCCCAAAACCCCAGCUCCGUUCCCCGCCGUGCCCCCUUCCGCCUCCGCCUCCGCCUCGGCCCCCGCGUUCCANNNNNNNNNNNNNNNNNNNNNNNNNNNNNNNNNNNNNNNNNNNNNNNNNNNNNNNNNNNNNNNNNNNNNNNNNNNNNNNNNNNNNNNNNNNNNNNNNNNNNNNNNNNNNNNNNNNNNNNNNNNNNNNNNNNNNNNNNNNNNNNNNNNNNNNNNNNNNNNNNNNNNNNNNNNNNNNNNNNNNNNNNNNNNNNNNNNNNNNNNNNNNNNNNNNNNNNNNNNNNNNNNNNNNNNNNNNNNNNNNNNNNNNNNNNNNNNNNNNNNNNNNNNNNNNNNNNNNNNNNNNNNNNNNNNNNNNNNNNNNNNNNNNNNNNNNNNNNNNNNNNNNNNNNNNNNNNNNNNNNNNNNNNNNNNNNNNNNNNNNNNNNNNNNNNNNNNNNNNNNNNNNNNNNNNNNNNNNNNNNNNNNNNNNNNNNNNNNNNNNNNNNNNNNNNNNNNNNNNNNNNNNNNNNNNNNNNNNNNNNNNNNNNNNNNNNNNNNNNNNNNNNNNNNNNNNNNNNNNNNNNNNNNNNNNNNNNNNNNNNNNNNNNNNNNNNNNNNNNNNNNNNNNNNNNCACCGCCGAUGGCGCAGUCGCUGGCGAUGACGGCGAUAUGCCGCCUCCGCGGUGCCGCCACCCACUCCUGCGGCGGGCACUGGCGCCGCCUCUUCUCCCGCUCCCCCGCCGCCUGCGCUCCUCUCCUCGGCCACUUCCACCACCCCACUCCGACGCCGCCCCGUCCCAAAACCCCAGCUCCGUUCCCCGCCGUGCCCCCUUCCGCCUCCGCCUCCGCCUCGGCCCCCGCGUUCCAACCCCUCACCUCCUCCUCCCCGCGCCUCUCCCUGGACUUCAUCCCUCCCGGCUUCUCCCUAUUCGACUCCCACCUCGGCCUCCUCGUCCUCCUCAAGGAGACCGAGCCAUACUCCUACCUCAAGCACCCCCAGAUCCUCGUCUGCGACCCGGUCUCCCGCCGCACCGCGCUUCUCCCUCCGGGGAUGGUCACCUGCACGUUUAGCAAGCUCGUAAGCGUCGUGAUCCUCUCCCGCGACGCGGACGACCCGGCCGGGUCCGGGCUCCGCUUCCGGGCAGCCGUCGUCACCCUCGAGGACACCACGCUGCGCGCCUUCGUGGCGACGUUCCGCGACGGCAAGUGCCACUGGGAGUGUCUGCUUCGGUCGCAGGCGAGAUGCAACGUCGACCAGCUGGAGCGCCACUGCGUGCGCGCUAGCCGGUUCCUCAUCUGGCACAUCCGCGACGAAGGUGCCGUGCUCACAUUUGACCCUGAGACACUGGAGUUCGGCUUCGUGCUCGCGCCGGCCGCACUCGACAUGGGGGGUCACUUUCUCAAGUACCGCGUCGGGUUGAUGCCGGACGGGCGGUUCUGCUUCGGUUCGAUGUCAAGGGAUCACGAGAACCUGGAGCUCCGGGUGCUGGGGCCCGAGCCGAAGGACGGCGAGAACGUGUGGGUACUGGAGAGGGAAGUGUGCUUGCUCCAGGCGUUCGACGAAAUGCCGCAGCUGCCCUCGAGUUUCAUCGCCCGGCGCAAGUGCACUUGGCUGAGCGACAUGGAUGCCGGGCGCACCGGGAGGGUGUUCAUCGGCACGUCAGGCUAUGGGCACUACUCGUACCAUCUGGACACCCGGAAGCUCGAGCGCCUGGUGAUGGACGACGGCGAGCAGUACGGGCACCCCAUGUUUGCCUACUUCUCCUUCCCGGGCUCGGAAGGCGGCUCUGACUGACAGACUCCUGGUAAUUAAUCAUGUCCUCGCAUCCCAGUUUCAUGUAAUGUCGGUUUAUGAGUAAUGCUUGGUCAAAAGAUAUCUGUGUGAAGUUUGUUGCCUUGGGUACUUUGGUGAACUUGAACCUAUAUUAGUUUUAUAUAUAUUCGUCAACCCAGUUCAUCAAUAGUUUAUAAUUAGGGGAAUAUAUGCAUUCAAAGAAUUUCAAGCUCUAGCGUGUUCUCUGAUGAUCAUGUCGUGUUUACUGAAGCUUGGGUGUCUACUGGCAGAAGCUUCUGUUCUGUAGAUAGCAUAUGUUUUCGAAAUCAAACUUGUACUGGAGAAAUAUAGCAUGCAUCAUUGAUAUACAAUAUCACCUCUGCUCCGAAAUAUAAGUCGCUGGGGGAGUUCAGUUUAGAGUUUACACUCCCCCAACGACUUAUAUUUAAGAACGGAGGGAGUAGAAGAUAUGCAUGUAUGAUUGUGGCAGUGUGACAAUAUUCAUUUUUAAUGUGUAGAAUUACAAGAUGACUUGAUUAUAAAAAUAACUUAAACUCAAGUGAUCUUGGAAAAAUUACAUGCCAGGCCUGUAAAACUGCAAUUGAAAAUAUUAUUAAUGCUUGAUUCAAACACCUCCAUAUUAGAAAAUGGAAAUGCUAGGUCAUCGAGGUUGAUCAACAAUGCCAACAUUUAUGUAGAUCGAUUUAUGUAGUGAUGUGUUUUAUCCAUUAACAUAAUGUGCAAAAAUUUAUCAAUAAGAGUAGAAAGGAAAAAACAUCUAGGGAUGAAGCGUCGACCAUCCAUGUAUUUUCCAGAAGUGCAUCUUAAAGAAGAGAAGCUAUCACUACAUUUGCACUAGGUGGGAAUCUCUAGCAACAGCCUUCACCAUUCUCAUUGACAUGCAUAGAAAGAAGCUGAUUAAAUUCAGUUAACAGCAGGUACUACAGAAGAGUGUAUUCCAUAAUUGUGUUGUCUGAUCAAGUGAUUGGGCAUUACAUCUGAGUUUGACUUGAUGAAUUUAGAACUGGACUGGUAACAUGGUGAUGAAUUUAGUAACUUUUCUCAUUUCUAUUCAUAUGAAUCUGCACAGUCUUCAGAACUUUUUUCAAGAAAGCACUUGCGUUAUGUCCCCUUGGUCUGUAGAAGUAACAUUUGACCCGCGAACUCCGGUGAAUAUAUGGCCUUUUUUAGUCAUGAGUCAUUUCUUAAACAAAUUGGGCUUGUUAUUCGCUUAGAGAACCCCUAUUUCAUUGGUUAGUUCACUGGGAACUGUGCUGAUAACUCUGCAUAUCUUAUUAUUCAGGGUGAAGUGAGAAGAGGUACCACGCGAUUUUGCCUGAAGAUGGCUCAACCGUUGCAUUUCUGGUUACGUCUGUGCCUUAUUACUCAGCAUUGAAGAUUGAACACAAAGAGGAUAAUGCCCAGAAUCUCUGAUUUGCUGUCCUUGAUGGGACUAUUUAAACAAUGUUGUCGCUAUGUUUGUUAAGCAUGCUUCGGAGUAGACGGUGUCUUGAAGAAUUAGGUGUGUUUUGAAGUAGUGUGCUGUUUCGCAAGGAUAGUGUCACAUUUAUGCUGUGUUUUGGCAAACCAUAAGAAAUGCAGAGUUUAUCACUUCAUUGGUCAACAUCUUUAAUUUGUGGGCUACAUACAAGCCUACAAUCCAAAAUAGUCUAUCAGAACAACCUAUAAACAUUCUUGUAUUGCACAAUUCCAAGAAAUCAUUCUGUUUUGGAUGGUUAAGCUUAAAACCUGGUCGUUUACUAUGCUGGUUGCUUGUCAAACUGUUUACAGUUUACUUCUUGGAAUAUGCAGAUUCUAAUGGAUAAAAUCCUUGCAGCUACGUACAGUAGUGUCCAAGCCUGUAAGGAUAGUCUGCCUCCCGCUCAAAUAAGAGAAGAACAACACAAGUGAUCAACAGAGGAAAUUCAAUGCAUAAUCCUUCUACCUGUAUAUAGACCUGCAAGCCCAAACUCGGCAGAACAUGAACGGCAACAUCUAUGUAUGUAUGCAUCCAGUUCUUUCUCCGAACCAGAGGAGGAGAUACACAAAAAAGAAAAGUUUUGAUUGAUUCAUUCUGACCUCACCUAUCCCUACUCAUCAUCAUCAUAUUUCUACGUACCGCAUCGGCCCUGUGCUACCCACAAGGCCACAAACUCAACUAGAUUACAGGCAGACCAGACCAAACCCCACAACAAGGAAAAAAAGAAACACCAGCACCAACGAGAGUCACCAAACAGAAUACACAGGGAGGGAGGGAGGGCACGCUGCCCGUGCGUUUUCCGAACUUUUUGCCUCGGAAGAAGAAAAACUGCUCCACGAACCAACCGGGGAUGUACGACGGCCUAUCGAUCAGAUCCAACGGCUAUGCCGGCGGCGAGGUGAGGUGCGGUCCGGCCGUUUCAG
RNAcentral lists this long non-coding RNA (73152 nucleotides) under Triticum aestivum (bread wheat). RNAcentral describes it as "long non-coding RNA (TAES_LNC019477)". The record is from RNAcentral. Lineage: Eukaryota; Viridiplantae; Streptophyta; Magnoliopsida; Poales; Poaceae.